This 45777-nucleotide long non-coding RNA is filed under the name Hordeum vulgare. Its description in RNAcentral is "long non-coding RNA (HVUL_LNC007777)". The stretch from base 38418 to 38542 matches the Rfam family "MIR1120/MIR1122 microRNA precursor family". Lineage: Eukaryota; Viridiplantae; Streptophyta; Magnoliopsida; Poales; Poaceae. The record is from RNAcentral.
GAGGAAAUAACCACACAAUAAUCUGCUGCCCGUGCGUGCUUCUCUGGAGCUUGGAGGCGAGGCGAGGCCGGGAAGAAGAUGACAAGACGGUUCUUGCCUCUUUGCGCGCUCCUCAUCGUGCUGCUCUGCAUGGCGGCGAGCCUCGCGGAGGGGAGGCGCGGCGGGGGACGCUUCUUCACCGGCGGCGGCAGCGGCGGGGCCAGAGGGAGAACUUCCGGCAGCCCACGCGGCCUAAGCGGCGGUACCUGGGCGGCCUGCGUCGGAUCCUCGCUGCUGGUCGCCGCGGCCAUGCUCUAGCUUGCAGCGGCAGGAAGAGCUCAAGAAGGUUGACUCAUUGGGGGAAUGUAAAUGUUCUGUGGAUUCGUUGGUUCUUUAUUACUACUGUCGAUUUUUUGUUGUUAUAUAUACUUACAGAUACAUCUGAUUGAUGAAUUCGUUUGAUAUGUUUUAUAUCUUGAUUAAGUGGACGCAGUUUGUUCAUGUCGAGAUAUUGUAUAUGUGGAUGUGCACGAUCUGUUGUCGUCAAAGUAUUGUAGAGAACCAAGAGUGAUUGCGCAGUGUGUUUAUCAUCAACAAAUACUACUCCCUUUGUUUCAAAUUACUUGUCCUUGUUUUUAGCUCAAAUGUUAACUAUGAUCUCGGCAAGUAUUUUAGAACGAAGAAAGUAUCAUACAAACAUACUUUCUUUUCAUAAUAUUUCAUAGAAACACGUUGUCGAAACAUAAUGUGGUUCCGUAAAAUACAUACAUGUAAAUAUAUUAGCUUUAAUAUUGAAAGAGAGUCACAUAAGCUCAUAUCAAUGGGCUCGUUCGCGUCGCUCUCGAGGGGAGCGGCCCGAGCGUGACCUAGCGCCGCCACGGCUACCACCUCUGACGCUCCACCCUCCCCCCGCCUGCUGCCAGCAGACGUCGCUGCCGGGCAAAGCCCGCGCACCAGCUGGCGGCGGGCCUCUCUCGCGCGGAAGCGCUCUGGGACCGGCCCUGGACGGCGCGGCUGGGUGCCGGGGCGGCGGCCCCGGAUUCGACCUGCAGUGGUGACGGCUGCAAUGGCUGUGGGGGCGGCCCCUCGGCGCGUUGAAGUGGCUAGGGAGGCUCGGUCCCCUGUGGUUAGGACUCGAUCUCGCUCGGCCAGACCUGGUUUCCGGGACUGCAUGCGGCGGCGGCUCCCGUCGGCGGUGGAAGUCGAGCAGCGGCCCCAGGCUCGGUCGUGGUGCUGCCUCUCCCGUCCUGCUGCUGGGGGGUCGUGUGGGGCAGCGUUGGGGCCGGGUUCGUCGAUCCGGCACCCAAUGCCCUGAUCCAGCGGUGUAGGCGCCCUGGUGUGUCUGUUGGAGUGCCCGGGGUCCCCUCCCUCGACCGGACGAGCUGUGGUGGUGGCGGCGAGCUGCAGCUUUGGAUGGUGGCGCGACGGCGCCAUGAGGGUGGUGGUGCGCCGGUGUGGAAGGUCCUCCCCGGCCAACUGGUGGAGCUAAUGUGAUAUGAACUACGACUCCCCCAGAUGCGGUGGUUGAUCUGCUCUGGUGUGAUGGGUUCUACGAUGUGGGUUGGGGGAAAUCCCUGCUUCGAUGAGGUUGAUAACGGCGACGUCCGCGGGCGUCGUUCCCUUCCUGAAGGCGUUGUCUUGGACCCGAUCAGACUACCUUCCUCGAACUCGGGGGAAACCCUUGGUUCCUUCGUACCGGACGACUUCUUGAAGGCGCUGUCUUGUUGCUCGAGGAACAUCGACGGUGCGGCUCGAGUCAAGGUCGACGGCUCUUUGGGCGUGGGCCCCCUUGGCACAAUGUAUGCCAUCUUCGGUGUUCUCUCUACGACACCUUUCCUUGAUCCGCCCAAGCCCAGUCGUUCACUUGCAGACUUUCCCUUGCACAUUUGGGUGGCGGUACGUUGGUUUGUGUUGGCCAUUGGUCUUGGUCUUGUUGUAGAGGUCUCGUCGUUGGUUGUGACGUGGCUAGGUUGCUUUGUUGCUUUCCUUAUUGUCUUUGACAUGAGGUUAGACUAGGGAAGCUUGUAUCACAGUAGGUAGUGUGUGUGUGUGUGUGUGUGUGUGUGAGGGUUGUGAAGGCUAAUCCUCAUGAUUAGCAUUGUAUUGGCCGAAAGGCCUUGCAUCCGGCUUCUUCGCCGCUUCUUCUUUAAUGAUAUGAUACACAUGCUUAUGCGUAUUUUAGAAAAAAGAAAGAGAGUCAGUGUGUACAGCCGUUCAUCCCACCUUCUCCUCCCUUCCUAGGGCAUCCCACCCCCAACUCAUCACCAAUGAAGCAAAUGUAGAGAAUCAUGCGAGGAAGACAAAGUUAGUAUGCUGACAAUUGGAAGCGCCUAACCCUGGAUUCCGUAAGAUGAUUGGAUGCCUCCUCAAGGAGAAGGCCAUCAGGGAUAAGAAGAGUGGCGGUGCUAGCUCCCGUCCUAUCAUUUUGAAGGACAAAUCAAACAAGUGUAAAAGCAAGAAGAGUGGCGCUAUACAAAAAGCGUCCGCAGUGGCUUGAUGGAUGGCUCUCGGUGUUUUGAUAUGUUAUCAUGGUUGUGCUCAUGUCUGUGGCCUAUGUCGAUGUUUGUUCUUCAAGUUAUCAUCAGCGUGUGGAAACUCACUUGUGAAGUUGAUUAUCAUGUGCAAGGGGGUUGUAGGGGUAAUGUGAUAGGGGAGCUUGUUUGUUUUUAUUUAUCGACUUGUGGUCUCAUGAGUUGGGAGUAAUCUACCUAUAUCAUGAGAUUGUGGCUUGGUUGCCGUUCGUGGCAAGCAUGUAACUUUUUUGUGUGAUUUUCCAUAAAUUAACUGGACAACUCUCUUCUUCUUAAAUGAUGCAAAGUUUUUUGCUUCCGUUUUAUAAAAAACAAAGCCAACAAAGAUAGAAGAUGGAGAUCACUGUGGUACAAUGGACCAUGGCACGUCCGCCAAUGGAAAACACAACUUCAAAAGCAUUAACUUUACAACUUUGUUUGAAACCCUGAAAAUCCAUAGUAAAUUGUAGGAACGUUAUUCUCGUACGAGAACUUCAUUUCCUUUCCUUUGGAACGCAAUAAUCGUAGGUAAAUUGUAGGAUAUGAAUCAGGUCCCUUUGAUUUUUAGGGCAUAUUUGUUUCACAUGAAGACUGGAUUAACUACCAUGCAUGGGAGGUUCUGUGGACCAUCCAGUCGUCGAUAGCUGCACCGUGAUUCAUGCGAGGGAGUGCAAUUCACACAUAUUGUUUUCAUAUGAUUCAAAGACUGUAGCAAUUUUAUCUUUUGAACACGGUUAGAUUUAUAAUUAGUUUGCACAUUUGUGUUUCUGGUAAUGAAACCUUCCAAACAAAACCAAUCUUGAAUAUAUUUUGACAAGAUUUAAAUUUUGAAUUUGUAAACUUUAUGAAACUUAGAGAUACACGGUACAACAAAAAAUAACCUAAUAAAAUUUGAUAAUACUAUUCUACACCAUUUUAGUCCGUUAUAUUCUAUUUCGUCUUGUACCAAUUAUGUAUCAUGUUGUUAAAUAGUGUGUCAAAUGGUCGAUAGAGAACUUGCUGAAACUUGAUGUAUAUAAUGUUCAUCACUAUAGACCUUGAUGAAAACUAUAUAUGCUUUACACAGAACAAUAUUGUUUCACUAUAUUUCACAAAGUUUCAUCGUGUUUCAGCUUUCAUUUUCUAAAACUUGUCAAAAUGUAUACAAGAGUGGUCUUAUUUCAGAGUAUUAUUCACAAGGAACACUAAAAUGCAGACAUAUCAUAUAUUAGACUCUCGAUUAAAUGGAUAAAUUAGAUUCAAACCUAAAAUCAAAUGAAGAAGGCAUGAGUGAGUGGAGUAUUAUAUGUGCAGUUUAAGAGGGAAAUAGGGAGAGAAAUUGACCAAUGCACGAAAGGUCCCCGUGCGGUAGAAUCUCUUUUCUCGUUUCACAUGGUCAACUAGACAUUUUUUAGAAUUUAUGUUAUCAUGGUGGGAUUUUAUCGGAAUCAAAGACACUCGGUUCAAAUAAUUGCUAGUGCCCCCCCCCCCCCNNNNNNNNNNNNNNNNNNNNNNNNNNNNNNNNNNNNNNNNNNNNNNNNNNNNNNNNNNNNNNNNNNNNNNNNNNNNNNNNNNNNNNNNNNNNNNNNNNNNNNNNNNNNNNNNNNNNNNNNNNNNNNNNNNNNNNNNNNNNNNNNNNNNNNNNNNNNNNNNNNNNNNNNNNNNNNNNNNNNNNNNNNNNNNNNNNNNNNNNNNNNNNNNNNNNNNNNNNNCACCUCCCCCCACACGCACACACACCAAAAAAAUAAUCAUAUAUCAUACUCAGGGCUGCUACACCCCCAAAAUCAGUUAGCCUACUAACAAAAGGAGGGUGAAUUCUUCCAAAAGAGAGAGAUACGCAUAGAGGCAGGAAUAAUCCUGAUCGAAACAAAGGUAAUGAAAAUAAUUUUCUUUUGCAGUUUUGCACAUGCUUUCAAAUACUUGUUGUGCACAAAUAUAAUACGUUUUCACAGAGAACGGACGUUUGGCUUCCGGGAGCCAUGGAGGCUGAAUUUUUUUGAAAAAAUAAAAUUCAAAAUUAUUGAUUCCAAAAUAUCUGAAAAAAAUUAUAUAACUAAACAAGUAUAUGAUCCGUGUGUGUGCAAAAUUUCAGGCGAAAAUACUUUGAGACACGAUCUGUACAACAAAGACAAAUUCAUGGCCUAAAAGGAUGAAUAGUGUCAUGUGUUAAAAAGCUUUAGAUUUGUCUUUUUUGCAUAGCCCUUAUUUUAACGUAUUUAGUUCUAAAAAUUUAGACACUUGUGUAUUAUACCUUCAUAUAUCUAUGUAUUGUUUUUAGAAUUUUUUGAAAUAUGAAAAUAUGAAUUUUCAUGAAAUUUGAAGUUUGAAUUUAAAGGUCUUCAUAGAGCUCGGGCUGCAAAAGCAAUUUCCAGUUUUCACAGUCCUACAUUUGUGUACAAAGUUAGUAUUUUAAUAUUCGCCGUCUUGGAACCCAUGACAUGUAUUUCCUCCGGUAAUUUUUACUCCACAUAUUAUAUUUGUCUGAAGACAAAUUUUAUAAAGUUUGACCAACUUUACAAAAUGAAAAUCAAUGUUCGUACUAUGAAAUCAGUAUCAUUAGAUGUGUCAUGAAUUUAGUUUUCAUAUUGUAUUAUAGAUGUUGAUAUUGUUUUCAUAUAAAUAUGGUCAUACACUCGUACUUUACGGAGUUCAACUUCAUCGGUACAAUUCUUAUAUGUAGAAUAGAAAGGGCCGGAGGAGGGAGUACUACUAGUCAACAGAUCUUGCUGGGUCAACUCUGGACCAGGCAUACAGAUCCAUGAGCACAGCAUCGAGUUGGAGGCGACAGCAACCACCCACCAAAUAUACAAGGGACAAGCUGCCUGCGCUGGCCUGAAUAGUGAAUACGUACCAUAUUGAAGAUCACAAGAUGAGAAGUCUCUUGCCUCUGUGCGCGUUCCUCCUCGUCCUGCUCUGCUUGGCAAGUCUCAUGGACGUCACUGAAGGAAGAUUCCGAGCACCCGAAGCAGCAGCAACAGCAGCAGCGGCGGCAGCCCGGGUAGCCUGAGCGGCGGUACCUGGGCGGCGUGCGUCGGCUCCUCACUGCUCGCCUCGGCACCCAUGCUGCUGUAAGCUGCUUUGAAUCGGCCAGCGCCUAGCGAUUCUGUGAUACGGCUGGCUAGCAGCUGCAGGCUGCAGCCCAGCAUAUGUGAUUUGUGUCGUGUGCAAUUUAGGGUCAAGAUGCAUGGAGUUGAUAAAAAAAAAUCCUCUCUCUUUGUCUCCUUCGGAUGACAGCUUUAUGUGACUACAGUUCACACUGUUUUAUAUAUAAAAUAAAGAUACAAACCUAAAUAUAACACGUCAUCAAUUCACACUCAAGAUAAGAUACAAAGAUACCAAUACAUCAUAACACUAUCUAAUCGGCCAUUAAACACACUACAUAUGAGUCAAAAAGAACCACUUGGGGCGAUGAGGACCUCCCGAGAACUAACCAUCUAGAAAAAGUGAAGGAGGAUAAUGACGAAGCAUGGACUUCAAGUCGAUGCCUUCACGAAGGGCAUGUCAUUGAAUUGUCGCCGCCGCCCGAUCCCGAAGAUCAAGUUUUUCACCCAGAGCAACGUGAAGAGACAUGAACACCACGACAAAGCCUUCAUGAAGGAAACAACGCCCGCAACCGCCACCACCGUCUGCCGGAAAAGACAGGGCAAGUUAUGCACUUCCGUGUUAACCAUCCGUUUGCAAAACCACCGUGCUACGCCGAACAUCACCAACCAUGCCACCCGCGUAAACAUGGCUGCCCGACCACACCCAAGACGCGUGCUCCGCCCAUGAACACCGCGUCCAAGCAACUUCGUGAACCCCUGAAUGCCUUGGCUUUGGCCUAACUGGUAGCCCCCAACGGACAGAGCAACCAUCAACCGUCGUGCCUCGAACAUUACCAAAACCACGUCGGAAAGCACACAACCAAGUAAAGGGGGAGGAGCAGCGGACACAUCUCGAUUGGUGAACCCCCGCACUGGCGACUGGUGGCCCAACAUCGGGGCCUCCCAUCCCUCGUGAGAACUCCCCACCAGGCACACCCCCGUGUCUCCUCACUACGACAGCCAAUGUAGAUUGACGUGAGGCCACCAACAACUUUUGGCCCGUCGAUAAGGAGCGCUAAGACAUCCCUCACCCGCAGCCAAGAGAGCCCACCGGAGGGCCACCCAGCGCCACCCGCCGUCGUCCAGGAGCCGGACCAUGGGUCCCGAUGCUUGCGAUCUGCGUUGGGUUUUCCGUGAAGAGGAACGGGUGAUGCAACACAAUAUAGGUAAGUAUUUUCCUCAGUAGAGAACCAAGGUCUAUCGAACCAAUAGGAGUAAUAACCAACCCCCGUCUCCAGCAACUGCACACAAAAGAAACAAACACUUGCACCCAACAUAGGCAACAUGAAUGUCAAUCCCCUUGUCUCUUUAUCUGCAAGCAAGUGAUGUGUGUAGAUAGAACUUGUAAGUGCAAAGUAAAUCAAAACUAAAUUAAGGCAGUGAUGUAUUGUAGCAUUUGUAAACCUAUAAGUGAAUAGACCCCGGGGCCGUAGUUUUCCCUAAUGGAAUCUCUCAUGUAGUAGGGAUACGGUGGGUAAACAAAUGACUGUUGGGCAAUUGAUAGAAAAGCGCAUAGUUAUGUGAUAUUCACGGGAAUGAUCAUAUGUAUAUAUGCAUCAAGUCCAUAAGCAAGUAGGCCGACUCUUGCCUGCACCUAUUACUAUUGCUCCACUUCAAGAGCGAUGACAAAUAAAGUAAUGCUUGGAGAACGAUGACAUGAUGUAGACAAAGAGAACUCAAUCUAUAUGAAUUAACCCCAUAGUUUUAUCCUUAGUGGCAAUAAUACAAAUACAUAUGUUGUCCCCUUCUAUUAGUAGGAUAUAGAAACCCGUCAGAUUGAACCCACUACGACGCUCCCCUCUCACUGAAGAAAUAUCAAUCUAGUUGGCCAAACUAUUUCAAUAGAUCAGAGAGAUUUGUGAAGCUAUGAUAAUCAUGCAAAUAAGAAUCAUAAUUAGAAUUCAGAGAAGACUCAAAUCAUUAUCAUGAAUAAUAUGAACAUAAACCUACAAUUCAUCAGAUCCCAACAAAAGCACCCGCACUAUAGGAUUACAUCUGAUAGAUCAAAGCGAAGAUGCGAUGAUCAUUGUAUUGAAUAUCAAGAUAGAGAUAGCCAUUUAGGUACUAACUACGGACCCGUAGGUCUAUGGUAAACUACUCACACAUCACCAUGGGAGCAUCAAGGUUGAUGUAGAGGUCCUCCAUGACCGAUCCCCCUCUGGCAGGAUACCGAAAAAGGGCUCCAGAUGGCCUCACAGCAGAAUAGAGACUUGCGGCGGUGGAAACAAAAUGUUUCGGGUGACUCCCUAGGGGUUUUGGGGUAUUUGAGAAUUUAUAGGAAGAAGAGGUACGUCAUGAGACGCCCGAGGGGGGCAGCACACAACAGGGCGCGACCACUCCUGGGCGCGCCCUGAUGUGUGAUGUCUCAAUCAUGCAACAUCCCGUCUCCUCUCAAUGCUUCCAGAUCUUCUUUUGGUCCAUAAAAGAUCAUAAAAAGUUUCGGGGCAAUUGGACUUCGUUUGGUACUGUAAACCUGAAAAUCCAAAAACAUGUAGAAAACAACAACUAACACCAGGCACUAAGUUAAUAGGUUAUUGCUCACAAAUGAUAUUAAUUGGUAUAUAAACACACAAAAAUCAUCCUAGAAUGAUAAUAUUACAGCAUGGAACAAUCAAAAAUCAUAGAUACGUUGGAGAUGUAUCACGUCUCGCCUGGAGCUCGUCCAUCACGCACCACUCGAUGGAAAGCACGCCCAGUCGCCGCGCCACCCACAGACCGUCGAUCGUGCGGCACGCCGCAGCGGACGAGCCUACAUCCGCAAGGGAGGCACCGCUCCUGUCCUCGGCCGCGAGCACGCCAGAUAUGGCUGAGCAUAGGUAAAAGGACGUGGAUGUUGCCUAGAGGGGGUGAAUAGGCGCUUUAAAAUAAUUAUGGUUUAGGCUUGAACAAAUGCGGAAUAAAACUAAUGUUUAAUUUGUCAAGCACGAAACCUAAAACAACUAGGUUAACCUAUGUGCAGCAACAACUUAUGCUAAGCAAGAUAAACAACUAAGUGAUAGCAAAGAAACAAUAUAGCUAUCACAAAGUAAAGUGCAUAAGUAAAAGGCUCGGAUAAGAGAUAACCGAGGCACGUGAAGACGAUGAUGUAUCCCGAAUUUCAUACACUUGCGGAUGCUAAUAUCCGUUUGGAGCGGUACAGAGACACAAUGCUCCCCAGGAUGCCACUAAGGCCACCGUAAUCUCCUCACGCCCUUGCACAAUGCAAGAUGUCGUGAUUCCACUAAGGGACCCUUGAGGGUGGUAAUCGAACCCGUACAAACAAGGUUGGGGAAAUCUCCACAACUUAAUUGGAGGAUCCCAACAACACCAUGAAUCUUCACCACAAUCGAAUAUGGCUUCAAGGUAACGUCAAAUGCUCGGUCCAAUCUCCACAACCUAAUUGGAAACCCCGACACUUGCCCGGAGCUUUACACCACAAUGAUUGAGCUCCAAGGCAUCACCAAGCUUCUAGGAUGCCAAAGCACCCAAGAAGAACAAGUAUUAGGGUACCAAGCACCCAAGAGUAAUAAGCUUCUCAAACUUCACUUCCACGUAUCACCGUGGAGAACUCAAACCUAUGCACCAAAUGCAAUGGCAAGGGCACACGAAGUGCCCAAUUCCUUCUCUCCCACAUACCUCCACAACAAGUAAUGAUACGGAAGAAAAUGAGAGGAAGAACAAAAAAGAACAUGAAGAACUCCAAGAUCUAGAUCCAAGGGGUUCCCCUCACAUAGAGGAGAAAGUGAUUGGUGGAAAUGUGGAUCUAGAUAUCCUCUCUCUUUUCCCUCAAGAACUAGCAAGAAUCAUUGGAGGGAUUGAGAGUUAGCAAGCUCGAAGAAGGUCAACAACGUGGGGAAAAUAUGAGCUGAACGGAUAGAUAACCAUUGAGGAAGAAGACCCCCUUAUAUAGAGGUAGAAAAUCUGACCAUAUUCUGCCCAUAAGUCGUGCAGGAGCGAUAGUACCACUCUGGGGAGCGGUACUUCCGCUUGAACGGAAGUACAUGUCGUGCAACCAACAGAUAGGCGACAAGGGGAGCGGUACUUGCACUGGAGCGGUACUACCGCUCCAACCAGCGGUACUACCACUACUCACUGACAAGGAAGAAACAAAGUAGAAGUAUCGCUUAGGGCGGUACUACCGCUAAAAAAUAAUUGCUAAGCACAACCAAAAAUCUGGAAACAUAAGUGGAAGUGAGGCCGGAAGUAGGGAGCAGCAGUACCGCCUAAGCGGUAGUACCGCUCUACUCCAAGUGGUACUUCCGCUUGAGAGAGAAAAUUGUCUUCCACUAAAACAACCAUAACUUUCGCAUAGGAGCUCCGAAUUGGGCAAACUCAAGCUUGUUGGAUUAAGGACGACAAGAGCUAUCCAACAACGCUUGGAAAUCUUAAGAACAUGCACUUUAUGAAAAUGCCAAUGAUAUAGAGACGUGAAACCUCUAUGAAUGAAGAAUCGACAAAAACUCCAGCAUCGAAAACAUCAUAGAGAUUCACAUGAACUCCGUUUUCAAUGAACUCGAGCUUGUCAUAAAGAUGACCAUAAGCUCUAAUACUCGUAAAUAGAAACACCAAACAAGAAACAAAGAAAGAUGUUGCAAGGAUGCAAAUGGUUUGAGCUCUCAACGAACAAUACGAUAAAGCUACUCACUUGAGAGCCCCCCUUGACAGUACAUCAAUCUAUCCUAAAUAGAAAACCUAUCAAGGGCAAACCUAUAACUUGCACAUAGUCCACUUGAGCUAGAUGAUGAUGAUCUUGACUUCCUCGAGAUGGACCACCUUUCUUGAUUGCACUGGCUUGAUGAAGACUUAUUGAUUGCUCCCCCAUACUCACUAUGGCUGAGCCACUCUUCAACACAUCUUCACAAGUCCAUUGCCACCAACAAUGGAUGGCAAGCUUCAAGCAUGAUACCUUCGUGAUGCUCCACUUGAUCUUGCAUAGUGCAAUCAUGAUGACGAUCACCACAUGAUGUCAUACUUCAUGGGUUGAAUGAGAUCUUCCUCUUGACGCAAGCCCAUGGAAACACACUUAACCCCACAUAGACUCUCACGAAGACCAUGGGUUAGUACACAAAAGCGUAAUGGACAAUGCUUACCAUACCAUGAGAUCACUUGGCCCCUCUCGGUACAUCUUGUACGCUUUGUGUGUUGAUCAACUUGAUUUACUCUUUAUCUUAGUCUUGAUCAACCUUGUGUUUUAUGACCAUUCUUUGGAUAAUACCUUGAAUACCACCUUGGUCAUCAUAUAAACUCCUCGAAACCAACAGAUGGACUUCAAGAAGUGCCCAUGGACAAAUCCUACAAAUAUAACUUAAGGAAACCAUUAGUCCAUUGGGAUUGUCAUCAAUUACCAAAACCACAUAUGCGGAAAUAUGUUCUAACAACAGGGCAGGCCACUACCACAACCACGGGCUCGAGAUCGGCCCAUAGAGCCCACCGCGCUACCACCAGGCCCUCGCUACUCCGUUGCCGCACCUCUCACCAUUGUGAAGCACCGCCAAACAUUGUUGAACCACACCAACUUCCUUCAAGCGGGAUGUGAAGGAGCCCCACCGCCACCGACGCUAGCAGGCUUUGCCGCCAGCGUGCCCCGACAGAGACGAGGGUGGAAAGGUAGGAAGGGCGUCUCGAAGCCGGCGGCUAGGUUCCCACUCCCCCCGGUCACCACACAUGAGUGACAUGGAGGGAGAGGAGGAAGGCCCAAGGUGAUGGACGGGAACUACAUGGAGCAGAAUAAAAAGGCAAAGGUAACUGAGAUGCUAGGUCUAGCGAUAUAAAUUUCGUAUUUUAGAUUAAGGUCAAAUGACGUUUGAGUAACAUAAAUAUGAACAAUACCCUUACGUUUUAUAUGAGAGGUAGUAGUUUUCUCCUUUGGAAGGAGGGUAGGACGUAAGAGCAUCUACAAUCGAACCCCUCAUAUCUGUCUCAGAUGCCGGGCAGACUGUCCCCAGUCACAAAAACACGAUCAAACUGGAUCCCUCAUACCCGUGUGAAACGCUCGGACUGACUGGCACCCCAGAUAUCCAUCUCAUAUUUGAGGACGAUAUGAGGGCUCGUGGACGCGCCCGGGCACGCCCGGUCAGUGCACCAUGUAGGACGCGACCCCACCGGAACCAUCUUUUCUCUUUCUGUAUUUUUUUAUUUCUCUCUCUCUUUUCCACCAAUCACGUGCAAGUCACCGAACAUAUGAGAAAAAUAUGGGAAAUGCGGCUGCACGAACGAAAAAGUAGAGGCUUAAAACGGACACGUCGGGUCACUAACCGGACACACCCGCGGACGUAUAGGGGGUCAUAUUUGCUAUAUCGAACUGUAGAUGCACUAAUAAUUCGUGAAUAUACUAAAUCCUGCUAAUAUAUUUCGUGACAUUGCAAUGGAGAUCAUGAUGGGGAACGUUGCAUGGGAAACAAAAAAUUUCCUACGCACACACAAGACCUAUCCAUGGUGAUGAUCAUCUAUGAGAGGGGAGAUUGGAUCGACAUACCCUUAUAGACUGCUAAGUGGGAAGCAUUAAGAAACACGGUUGAUGUAGUCUAAUGUCUUUGCGAUCCAAAUCGCAAGUCGUCCCACGAACUCCGUCCCGAUCUAGCGCCGAACGGACAGCACCUCCACGUUCAGCUUGAUGAUGAUCUCCGCCUUCUUGAUCCAGUAAGAGGGGCAAAGAAGUAGAUGAGUUCUUCGGCAGCACGGCGGCGUGGUGGUGGUGGUGAUGAACUAAUCCAGACGGCUUCGCCAAGCUAUGCCGGACUAAUCUAGACGAGAGAGACGAUCUAUGGAGGAGAAGGCAGCACGUGGCUUUUUUGGUGUAGUUUGCCCUCAAAACCUCCACUAUAUAUAGGAGGAAUAGGAGGGAGGGCUGCCUUGCCUCCUACUCCAAGGAGGAGGUCUAGGCCGAGGCAAGGGAGGAGAGUCCUCCUCCAAUUUGGUGUGGUGGAGGACUCCCUUCCUACUUGGCCACCUCCUUCCUUUUUUUCUUUUUUCCUUUUCCUUUUGUACUUGGCCGAAAUAGGUCCUCUUGGGCUGGGUGCACCAGCCCACUAAGGGAUGGUGCACCACCUUUAGGCCUAUUAAGUUCUCCCCCGGGUGGUUGUCCCCUCCCGGUAAAACCCCAGAACCCAUUCAACACUCCCGACACUUUACCGGUAAUGCCCGAUAUCUUUUGGAAGCCAAAUGCAACUUUCCUAUAUAUCAAUCUUGACCUCCGCACCAUUCUAGAGCUCCUCGUGACGUCCAGGAUCUCAUUUGGGACUCCGAACAACUUUCAGUCACCAACAUACAUAACUCAAUAAUACCAAAACGUCACCGAACCUUAAGUGUGCAGACCCUGCGGGUUCGAGAACUAUGCAGACAUGACCUGAGACACUCUCCAGUCAAUAACCAAUAGCGGUACCUCAAUGUCCAUAUUGACUCCUACAUAUUCUACAAAGAUCUUUAUUGGUUGGACCUCUAUGUCAAGGAUUCAGUUAAUCCUGUAUAACAUUCCCUUUAUCCUUCGGUAUGUUACUUGCCCGAGAUUCGAUCGUCGGUAUAUCUAUACCUAUUUGAAUCUCGUUACCAACAAGUCUGUUUACUCGUUCCGUAAUACAAAAUCCCGUGACUAACUCUUUAGUCACAUUGCUUGCAAGGCUUGUUUGUGAUGUUGUAUUACUGAGUGGUCCCCGAGAUACCUCUUCGUCAUACAGAGUGACAAAUCCCAGUCUUGAACCAUGCUAACUCAAGACACCUUCGGAGAUACCUGUAGAGCACCUUUAUAGUGACCCAGUUACGUUGCUUCAUUUGAUACACACAAGGCAUUCCUCCGGUGUCAAUGAGUUACAUGAUCUCAUGGUCAUAGGAAUGUAUACUUGACAUGUAGAAAACAGUAGCAAUAGAAUAACACGAUCACAUGCUACGUUCAUAGUUUGGGUCUUGUCCAUCACAUCAUUCCCCUAACGAUGUGAUCCCGUUAUCAAGUGACAACACUUUUCUAUGGCUAGGAAACCUUAACCAUCUUUGAUCAACAAGCUAGUCAACUAGAGGCUUACUAGGAAAGUGUUUUGUCUAUGUAUCCACACAUGUAUUCGUGUUUCCAUUCAGUACAAUUCUAGCAUGGAUAAUAAACGAUUAUCCUGAAAUAGGAAAUAUAAUAAUAACUAUUUUAUUAUUGCCUCUAGGGCAUAUUUCCAACAGAUCAUAAUCAAGGUUAUUGCGAACUAACCUCAUGGUGGAACCUGUCCACGUGUGUUCAAGCCUCAGACUUGUAUUGAUGCCUGCAAUUUUCUCAAAUUAUUAUAGAAUUUAAUGGUUUUAUAUAUAGGUUAUGUGUUCACCGACAACCAUACACAUGUGAUGACUUCAUCAAUCUCAAGUCUAACCAACUCAAUGUUUAGGAGGUGUUCAUAGAGACAAAGCGGACAUGGAUAUGAGUGUAUGUACAAAUUUGUGAGUCUGUAUUUGAGGUUCAACUCCCGUGACAUACUCAAGGCGCACUUGGGUCAUCGACAUGUGGACCACCCUGCUUUGGACCCACGUGUUAGUGACCCAACUACAUCUAGUACGUUAGAGGAUCCCUAUCAACAUUUUUACCGUGUUUCGUAAAAAUGGUUUGUCCAACCAAAAUUCACAUGUUUUGUCGUUCGUUAAACAAGCAUGUCAUAGCAUAGUCAAUAUUUUAGCAACUACUGCCUUCUCCAUUGUCACCUCCUAAGAAAAACAUUUCACAACUUUGUCUCAUUCCUUCCCUAACCUAGAUAGUUAGGGUAAACUCUUCCCUGUAGACAUCAUCGGGGAACCUGUGGAUUCGCCUCCCUGUUCUCUUCCGCUUUGACGACCGGUGGCAGGGAGGGAAAUCCUGGCACCUUGCUACCUCAAAAAGAUCCCCGACGACAGCGCUAGAAAUACUUCUGAUGUUAGCUAUGCUUCCCUUGCAACGGCGCCAGAAAUUGUCGUGUCAAUGGCACAAGGAAUCCUUUAGCUGUAGCUAUGCCUUAAGGGACUUCCUAGGCAAGUAUGCAAAGGAUUUCCCCCGUGGCCUUGGAGCCUUGCGUUGGUGUUCCCUCGAAGCGGAAAGGGUGAUGUAGCACAGCGGUGGUAAGUAUUUCCCUCAGUUUGAGAACCAAGGUAUGAAUCCAGUGGAGGAGUAUCUCAAGAUCCCGCACAAACACAAAAGCUUGCUCCCAACGCUAUGAAGGGGUUGUCAAUCCCUUAUAGAUUGUUUUCCAAGUAAGAACUGAAAUCAACAAAGUAACAAAGCAAAGUAAAAGCGGAGGUGUAAACGAUGGAUGUGAAUAGACCCGGGGGCCGUAGUGUUUACUAGUGGUUUCUCUCAUGAAAACAAGUAGACGGUGGGUGAACAAAUUACUGUCGAGAAAUUGAUAGAACCGUGCAAAGUCGUGACGAUAUCUAUGCAAUGAUUAUAUCUAGCUCAAAAGAUAUAAGUGAAGCACAUGUGAGAUGAAUUGUCUACCAAAAGAUAUAAGUGAAGCUCGACAAAAUCACGAUGAGUGCAUGUCUCUCUCUCUAGUGUGCAGCAAGGAUGAUUGUGACACAACAAAAAUAAAAGACUCCUACGAUACAAGACGCUCCAAGAAAAAACACAUAACCUGUGGUGAAUAAAAAUAUAGCCCCAAGUAACGUUACCGAUGGAUUGAAGACGAGAGAGGGGAUGCCUUCCCGGGGCAUCCCCAAGCUUAGGCUUUUACGACAUCCUUGAAUCUCUUGGGGUGCCUUGGGCAUCCCCAAGCUUGAGCUCUUGCCACUCUUUAUCUUUUUGUCCAUAAGAACUUCAACCAAAACUUGAAAACUUCACAACACGAAACUUAAACAGAAACUCGUGAUAACAUUAGUACAAGAAGCAAACCACCACUUCCUUAGGUACUGUAGCAAACUUAAAUUCCACUUGUGCUGAUGUUGCGUUACUGUACUUUCAAUCUUACAUGGCUAAUACCCCCCCCCCCGAUACUAUCCAUAGUUUCAUCAAAAUAAGCAACCAACACAACAAAAACAGAAUCUGUUAACAGCAGACCAGUCUGUAGCCAUCUGUAUAUUUCGUAUACUUCUGCUACUUCACAAAAUCUGAAAAAUUACGAAAGUCUGAAGAAUUCUCGUAGCAAUCAGCAGCAAAAAGAANAAAAGAAUCAACUCAAAAUCUCUUACAGAACAAAAAUGAAAAUUAUUUUCGUGAGCAGAAAGUUUCUGUCUUUUCCAGCAUGACCAAACGAUCAUCCCUAAGACUAAUCAUAACGUUUUUGCUUGGCACAAACGCAAAAAGAAACACAAAUAACACAAUCAUAACAGAAUUAUGAAAGUGUGGAAAACACAAAACAGAAAGAAAAAGGAUAGAUUCGUCGGGUUGCCUCCCAACAAGCGCUUUUGUUUAACGCCCUUAGCUAGGCAAAAAGUGAUGGAAUCACGUAUAGUCAUCUUUGGUGCUCAAACCAUAAGUAGUGUGAUCAUUUAUCAUCUUAAGAUUUUCAUAUUUAUUAGAUUACUCACCACUAGCUUUAGGAACAAAAACAGGCUUGACGGUCUUUUUGAGAAUAAGAUUUGGAGUAUUUUGCACAGCGGCAAAAGCGGAACCCAAGUUGGUUAUGCCAUCUUCUAAUUUGCCAAUUCUAGAAGAACCAUUGACUAUAAGUUCCUUAUCCUUUAAGUUUUUCAAAAAGUUUCUCACUUUGGAUCUGUACUGAGAAAUUUGAUUGUGGAUCUUUCUAUCCAAACCCUCAAUAAGUUCAACUGUGGCAAUUUUGUUUUCAACAGCGUCAAGCCUUUGCAUCACAUGUUCAAAGGUCAAGAUAGUUCCAUUAACCAUGAGCGGGGGUGAGCCUACCAAAUUCAUGAUAGCUCUAUAGGAGUCAACAGUAUGGCUCCCCAAAAAGUUCCCGCCUACAAUGGUAUCAAUGAUAUACCUAUUCCAAGGAGAAAUUCCAACAUAGAAACUGCGAAGGAGGACGGUAGUGGAUUGCUUACGAGUAGAUCUACUUUGAGCAUUGCAAAUCCUAUACCAAGCGUCCUUCAAAUUUUCUUCCUCAUUCUGCCUGAAAUUGAGAACUUCAUUUUCAGGGGUGUCGUUUGGAGUGGUGGGCCUAGCCAUUGAUGGACUAUCUCAUGCACAAACGAACAGGAAGAGAGAGUGAAACGAGCAAAAGAAAACGUCAAAAAGGCAAAAGAAAACGGCGAAGGAGAAAGGCAAAUGAAAACGGAAAAUGUGAAGUGGGGGAGAGGAAAACGAGAAUCAAUUGGCAACAAAAGUAAAUCCAAGAGAAGAGUUUGUGAGACUUACUUGGAUAGAUCUUGAUUUCUCCUCCCCGGCAACGGCGCCAGAAAUACUUCUGCUACCUCAAAAAGAUCCCCGGCGACAGCGCCAAAAAUACUUCUGAUGUGAGUUGUGCUUCCCUUGCAACGGCGCCAGAAAUUCUCGUGUCGACGGCACCAGGAAUCCUUCAGCUGCGGCUACGCCUUAAGGGACUUCCUAGGCAAGUAUGCAAAGGAUUUCCCCCGUGGACUUGGAGCCUUGCGUUGGUGUUCCCUCGAAGCGGAAAGGGUGAUGUAGCACAGCGGUGGUAAGUAUUUCCCUCAGUUUGAGAACCAAGGUAUCAAUCCAGUGGAGGAGUAUCUCAAGAUCCUGCACAAACACAAAAGCUUGCUCCCAACACUAUGAAGGGGUUGUCAAUCCCUUAUAGAUUGUUUGCCAAGUGAGAACUGAAAGCAACAAAGUAACAAAGCAAAGUAAAAGUGGAGGUGUAAACGAUGGAUGUGAAUAGACCCGGGGGCCGUAGUGUUUACUGGUGGCUUCUCUCAUGAAAACAAGUAGACGGUGGGUGAACAAAUUACUGUCGAGCAAUUGAUAGAGCCGCGCAAAGUCGUGACGAUAUCUAUGCAAUGAUUAUAUCUAUAGGCAUCACAUCCAAAACAAGUAGACCGAUACUGUCUGCAUCUACUACUAUUACUCCACACGUCGACCGCUAUCCAGCAUGCAUCUAGUGUAUUAAGUCCAUAAGAACAGAGUAAUGCCUUAAGCAAGAUGACAUGAUGUAGAGGGAUAAUCUCAAACCAAUGAUAAAAACCCCAUCUUUUUACCCUUGAUGGCAACUACUUCAUGUGUGCCUUGCUACCCCUACUGUCACUGGGAAAGGUCACCACAUGGUAGAACCCAAAACCAAGCACUUCUCCCAUUGCAAGAAUCAUAGAUUUAGUUGGCCAAACAAAACCCAACACUCGAAGAGACUUACAAGGAUAUCAAAUCAUGCAUAUAAGAAAUCAGCAAAGACUCAAAUAUAUAUCAUAGAUAAUCUGAUCACAAAUCCACAAUUCAUCGGAUCUCGACAAACACACCGCCAAACAAGAUUACAUCGGAUAAAUCUCCAUAAAGAUCAUGGAGAACUUUGUAUUGAAGAUCCAAGAGAGAGAAGAAGCCAUCUAGCUACUAACUACGGACUCGUAGGUCUGAAGUGAACUACUCACGAGUCAUUGGAGGGGCGAUGAUGGUGAUGAAGAAGCCCUCCAACUCCAAAGUCCCCUCCGGCAGGGCGCCGGGAAGGGUCUCCAGAUGAGAUCUCGCGGAAACGGAAGCUUGCGGCGGCGGAAAAGUAUUUUCGAGGCUCCCUUGAUUUUUUGCUGAAUAUUUGGGAAUAUAUAGGCCAAAGAUCUAGGUCAGGGAGCGGCCGGGGAGGCCACAAGCCCUGCCACCGCCGCCUCCCCCCUGGUGGCGGAGUGCGGGCUUGUGGGCUCCCUCGAGCCCACCUGGCUUGGCCCAAAGGCCCCCUGAUCUUCUUCCGUUCGGAAAAAAAUCAUUUCGGGGUUUUUCUUCCGUUUGGACUCCGUUCCAAAAUCAGAUCUGAAAAGAGUCAAAAACAUAGAAAAAACAGGAACUGGCACUUGGCACUGAAUUAAUAAGUUAGUCCCAAAAAAGAUAUAAAAGGUACAUAAAACAUCCAAAGAAGACAAGAUAACAGCGUGAAACCAUCAAAAAUUAUAGAUACGUUUGAGAGAUAUCACACCUCCACUUCAGUUGGUAGUUUAGGUUAUGAUUUUUUAGUCCUUACAUGUGCGGUGCUUGGAUGCAUGGCGUCGUUUCUUCCUCGAGUUUGUCUUUCAGGCUCUAAUCCUCUUCGACUUUGUUUGUCUGGCCGUAGUCGAUGGAGCUCUGGUAUAGAUUCCCAUCAUCUCCUUAGGACAGUGAGGUUAGAGUUUCUUGUCAUGUGGCGAGAUUUGAAGUCAGGUGCUUCAGAUCUAUGCAAGGGUUCGAUGACAACGAUUGUGAUUCCAAGGCGCUGGUCCUAGAGGCACGUGAACGAAUACUUUUUGGCUAUCAUCGACAAGGUCAAGCCAACUCCGAUAGGAGAGAGAUGCAUCGACAACUCAUUUUGAUGGCAUUAUUGGUCGUUCGGUGGUCUCAAAAUCUUGAUAUAGUUUUUAUAUGUUUGAGAUGCUUUGUACUUUCGGUGAACUUUUAUAAAUGAUAUGAUGUUUUUUUGAAAAAAGUCUACAACCAUAGCCUCAGUGCGUCAACUAGAUGUUGAACCUUUUUAUGAUUUCGGCUUGGGUGUAAUCAAUGGGAGAUGGUAGCACGGGCUAUCUUCAACCAGUUUGGAUGGCGGCUAAUAGGCUAGGUGUUUAGUCACUGCAGCUUGUUUCAGCUUGGCCGGAUGUGGCAUUUAUUAUGCAUUUUAUUUUAUGAUUUCGAGCUGUUAACUCUUUUGGAUUAUGAAAUUUUGGUGUACCUUCGUGGUUGUUGUUUUAAUAAUAUGGCUGCAUGCAUCAUCAUGAUGCAAAGACAAGGGGUGAUCCCCCUUUUAAAAAAAUGUUGAACCUUUUUAUGAUUUCGGAUUGCAUGAUUAUGACAUCUCCAUAUUGUAGAUUUUAAUCUUUGGGCUAAUCCAAAUAAGUCCUAACUAUGUAAUUUAGCAUCAGGAUGAUAUUUUUUCUUAAACAAAGCAGAAUACACAUGAAAGAAGAACAAAAACAGAAAGAAGGGAACGUGUCAAAGUAACAUAUGUUUUAUUGCACGUAGGAAAUGGCAAGCAACCCAAGAUAAAAAAAAAAUUCUUUGUGUGAAACAAAGGAAUUUGCUAAAACAAAAAGACUAAAUUUGGUAAAAUAUGUUUUACCUCGUAGACUAAAAUUUUGUUGCUAGGAAGAUCACCAAAAUCCAUCAUACUCGUCGAUUGCAUACUAUUACAUAUGUUUACUAGUAUAAGACAUUUUGGCCGUUCUAUUUGAAUUGCCAAAACGUCUGAUGUCUACUACGCAACCUUCUCCUUGUAGNAUCACCGCAGAUAGACACAUGCAAGACAUACAUCAAGUGUUCUCAAAAACUCAAUCCAAUAAGAUAACUUCAAAGGGGCAACUCAAUUCAUUACAAGAAGGGAGAGGGGGAAGAACAUCAUAAGAUCCAACUAUAGUAGCAAAGCCCGCGGUACAUCGAGAUCAUGACAUCUCAAGAACAUGAGAGAGAGAGAUCAAACACAUAGCUACUGGUACAUACCCUCAGCCCCGAGGGAGAACUACUCCCUCCUUGUCAUGGAGAUCGUCGGGAUGAUGAAGAUGGCCACCGGAGAUGGAUUCCCCCUCCGGCAGGGUGCCGGAACAGGCUCCAGAUUGGUUUUUGGUGGCUACAGAGGCUUGCGGUGGUGGAACUCCCGAUCUAGGUUUCUUUCUGGAGGUUUGUGGAUUUAUAGGACCAGAUGGCGGUGGAGUUGCGUCAAGUGGGCCCCUGAGGAGCCCACAAGCUUGGUCGGUGCGACCUGGGGGGCGCCUACAGGGCUUGUGGCUUCCUCGGGACCCUUCUCCGGUAUCUUUUUCUUUCGGUAUUUUUGAUAUUUUCCAUAAAAAAUCAUCGCGAAAGAAUUAUUCCGUUUGGGCUCCGCCUGAAAAAGGGUAAAAAACACUGAAAGAACAGGAACUCACACUUGGCACUGAAUUAAUAGGUUAGUCCCAAAAAAGAUAUAAAAGGCAUAUAAAACAUCCAAUGUUUGACAAGAUAACAACAUGAAACCAUCAAAAAUUAUAGAUACGUUGGAGACGUAUCAAGCAUCCCGAAGCUUAACUCCUGCUCGUCCUCGAGUAGGGAAGUGAUAAAUAAUGAAUUUUUGAUGCUUUCAUGCUACCUAGCAUAGAUGUCCUUUGUAACUCCUCUUAUGUGUCAUGAAUGUUCAUAUCCUUUAGAUUCAAAACAAUAGUUUGCUAUUGAUGUGGAGACAGUAAUACUCCAAGCAAACUAGCAAGGUAAUCAUGAACUUUCAAAAUAACAAGGCCAAAAGAAAGUUAUCCCUACAAAAUCAUAUAGUCUGGCUAUGCUCUAUCAUCCUUGCACAACGAAUUUAAAUCAUGCACAACCUCGGUAUUGGCCAAGUAAUUGUUUUCACACCUUUACUUUCUCAAACUUUUUCAACUCUCAUGCAAUACAUGAGCGUGAGCCAUGGUUAUAACACUACAGGUGGAAUGGAGUGGUGGAGGUUGUGAGACAAAAAAGGAGAAGAUGGUCACAUUGACUAGGCAUAUCAAUGAGCUAUGGAGAUGCUUAUCAAUAGAUAUCAAUGUGAAUGAGUAGGGAUUGCCAUGCAAGAGAUGCACUAGAGCUAUGACUAUGUGAAAGCUCUUUAGGAAAACUAGUGGGUGUGCAUCCAACUUGCUUGCUCACGAAGACCUAGGGCAAUUUUGAGGAAGCCCAUCAUAGGAAUAUACAAGCCAAGUUAUAUAAUGAAAAUUUCCCACUAGCUAUAUGCAGGUGACAAAACGAGAGACUCUCAAUCAUGAAGAUCAUGGUGCUUAAUAUGAAGCACAAGUGUGGAAAGGAUAUAGUAGCAUUGUCCCUUCUCUCUUUUUUCUCUCAUUUUUUGGUGGGCUCUUUGGCCUCUCUUUUUUUGUGGGCAUCUUUGGCCUCUUUUCGUAAAUGGGCUUCGCUGGCCUAUUUUAUUUCCUCACAUGGGACAAUGCUCCAUCAAUGAUGAUCAUCACACUUACAACUCAAAACUUAGAGCAAUGAUGACUCUAUAUGGAAUGCCUUCGGUAGUGUACCGUGACAAUGAUCUAGCAUGGCAUAGACAUCAAUGGAAACAUCAUGCUAGCUAUCUUAUGAUCAUGCAAUGGCAAUGUAGAAGUUGUGGCACAUGUCAUGUUGGUAGUUGCAUGGCAAUAUAUCUCGGAAUGGCUUUGAAAAAGCCAUAGUAGGUAGGUAUGGUGGCUGUUUUGAGGGAGGCUAAUGGUGGUUUUAUGCACCGGCGAAAGUUGCACGGCACUAAAGAAGAUAGUGAUGGUGGAAGGUGAAAGUGCAUCUAAACCAUGGACUCAACAUUAGUUAUGAAGAACUCAUAUACUUGUUGCAAAAGUUUUAUUAGUAAUCGAAACAAAGCAUUCAACGCAUACUCCUAGGGGAAGGGUUGGUAGGUAUAAACCAUCGCGCGAUCCCGACCGCUACACAAAGGAUGACAAUCAAUAAACUAAUCAUGCUCAAACUUCAUCACAUAGAGGUUCACCAUACGUGCAUGCUACGGUAAUCACUAACUUCAACACAAGUAUCUCUAGAUUCACAACACCAUACUAACAUAACUUAAAUAUUACCACAACCACAUCUCAAAACUUAUUGAGAGGAAUCAAGCUUCUCAUUCUACUCAAUGCACAUGAAGAUGGAAGUUUUCGUAACCGUUUGGAUAACUACCACUUUUGGGACUACUUUCAUAUUAUAAGCCAACUACCAAGCCACGCACCACUGUGCUCUAAAAGAUAUAAGUGAAGCACAUAGAGCAAAAUCAACUAGCUCUAAAGAUAUAAGUGAAACACAUCUGAGCUGAAUUGCCUAACUCAAAGGAUAUAAGUGAAGCUCGACAAAAUCACGGUGAGUGCAUGUCUCUCUAUCUAGGUGUGCAGCAAGGACGAUUGUGACACAACAAAAAUAAAAGACUCCUGCGAUACAAGACGCUCCAAGCAAAACACAUAUCAUGUGGUGAAUAAAAAUAUAGCUCCAAGUAACAUUACCGAUGGAUUGAAGACGAAAGAGGGGAUGCCUUCCUAGGGCAUCCCCAAGCUUAGGCUUUUUCGACAUCCUUGAAUCAACAUGGGGUGCCUUGGGCAUCCCCAAGCUUGAGCUCUUAACACUCUUUAUAUCUUUGUCCAUAAGAACGUCACCCAAAACUUGAAAACUUCACAACACAAAACUUAAACAGAAACUCGUGAUAACAUUAGCACAAGAAAACAAAUUACCACUUCUUUUGGUACUGUAGCAAACUUGAAUUCUACCUAUAUUGAUGUUGGACUACUGUAUUCUCACUUUUCCAUGGCUAGUACCACACGAUACUAACCAUAGUUUCAUCAAAACAAGCAACCAACUCAACAAAAACAGAAUCUGUCAAAAACAGACGAGUCUGUAGCAAUAUGUAUACUUCAUAUACUUCUGGCACAUCAAAAAAUCUGAAACAUUACGAGAGUCUGAAGAAAUUGCAUAGAAAUCAGAAGAAAAAAGAAUCAACGUAAAAUCUCUUACAUAAUAAAAAUGAAAAUUCUUUUCGUGAGCAGCAAGUUUCUGUCUUUUUCGAGCAUGAUCAAACAAUCGUCACCAAGACUAAUCAUAACGGUUUUGCUUGACACAAACACAAAAAGAAACACAAAAGACACAAUCAUAACAUAAUUAUGAUGGUAUGGAGAAAACAAAACAGGAAGCAAAAAGCAAAGGAAAAUUUAUUCACUGGGUUGCCUCCCAACAAGCGAUAUCGUUUAACGCCCUUAGCUAGGCAUUGAUUUCAAUGAUGCUCACACAAAAGGUAAGGAUUGAAACACAACGAGAGCAUCAUGGAGAAAAUGGCUAGCACAUUUAAGUCUAACCUACUUCCUAUGCAUAGGGAUUUUGUGAUCAAACAAUUUAUUGGAGCAAGAAUCAACUAGCAUAGGAAGGCAAAACAAGCAUAGCUUCAAAAAUUUCAACAUAUGGAGAGGAAGCUUGAUACUAUUGCAAUAAGUAGAAGCAUAUGAUCCUCUCUCAUAGUAAUUUUCAGUAGCAUCAUGAAUGAAUUCAACAAUAUAACCAACACCUAAGGCUUUCUUUUCAUGAUCUACAAGCAUAGGAAUUUUACUACUCUCCACAUAAGGAAAUCUAUUCUCAAGAAUAGUAGUGGGAGUAUCGUAAAAGACUUGAGCACUAGAAAUUGUGUCCACAAUGAAAAAGCAAGGUUUAGCAAAGGCGUUCUCGAGAGUAUGACAAGUUUUAUCAUCGCUCUUCUUUAAAGCAUAAGUAUCCUCACAAUAAUCAUCAUAGAUAGGGGGCAUGUUUUCAUCAAAAUGAUUUUGAUCAUUCAAAGUGGAAGAACUAAAAAGAUCAUCUUCAUCAAAUAUAGCAUCCCCAAGCUUGUGGCUUUGCAUAUCAUUAGCAUCAUGGGUAUUCAAAGAAUUCAUGCUAAGAACAUUGCAAUCAUGCUCAUCAUUCACAUAUUCUAUGCCAAACAGUCUACGUAAUUCUUCUUUCAGCACUUGAGCACAAUUUUCCUUCCCAUCAUGCUCUCGAAAGACAUUGAAAAGAUGGAGCAUAUGAGGCAUCCUCAAUUCCAUUUUUUUUGUAGUUUUCUAGCGAAAGAACAAGAAACAAAAAGAUUUGAUUGCAAGAUCUAAAUAUAUACCUCCAAGCGCUAACCUCCCCGGCAACGGCGCCAGAAAAGAGCUUGAUGUCUACUAUGCAACCUUCUCCUUGUAGACGUUGUUGGGCCUCCAAGUGCAGAGGUUUGUAGGACAGUAGNNNNNNNNNNNNNNNNNNNNNNNNNNNNNNNNNNNNNNNNNNNNNNNNNNNNNNNNNNNNNNNNNNNNNNNNNNNNNNNNNNNNNNNNNNNNNNNNNNNNNNNNNNNNNNNNNNNNNNNNNNNNNNNNNNNNNNNNNNNNNNAUCACCGCAGAUAGACACGUGCAAGACAUACAUCAAGUGUUCUCAAAGACUCAAUUCGAUAAGAUAACUUCAAAGGGGAAACUCAAUUCAUUACAAGAAGGGAGAGGGGGAAGAACAUCAUAAGAUCCAAUUAUAGUAGCAAAGCCCGCGGUACAUCAAGAUCAUGACAUCUCAAGAACACGAGAGAGAGAGAUCAAACACAUAGCUACUGGUACAUACCCUCAGCCCCGAGGGAGAACUAGUCCCUCCUUGUCAUGGAUAUCGUCGGGAUGCAGGGUGCCGGAACGGGCUCUAGAUUGGUUUUUGGUGGCUACAGAGGCUUGCGGCGGGGGAACUCCCGAUCUAGGUUUCUUUCUGGAGGUUUCUGGAUUUAUAGGACCAGAUGGCGGUGGAGUUGCGUCAAGUGGGCCCCUGAGGAGCCCACAAGCUUGGUAGGUGUGGCCUGGGGGGUGGCUGCGCCUACAGGGCUUGUGGCUUCCUCGGGACCUUUCUCCGGUAUCUUUUUCUUCCGCUAUUUUUGAUAUUUUCCAUAAAAAAUCAUCGCGAAAGAAUUAUUACGUUUGGACUCCGCCAGAAAAGGGUCAAAAACACGGAAAGAACAGGAGCUGGCACUUGGCACUGAAUUAAUAAGUUAGUCCCAAAAAAGAUAUAAAAGGCAUAUAAAACAUCCAAAGUUUGACAAGAUAACAACAUGAAACCAUCAAAAAUUAUAGAUACGUUGGAGACGUAUCAACGUCUUAUAUUAAGAAACGGAGGGAGUGAAAUUUAGUAACUAUCCCACAAACAUCAGAACAUAACGCCUCAUUUGCUAUCAAGAAAAAUACGAUAUCGUAGAAAAAUAAAAAAUAUAUUUAUAUUCUGUGAAAGGUCCGGUGUUAGCAUUCGAACAACAUACAUAUACUUCAUGAAAGGUCUAAUGCUAGCUUUCAAAUAACAUAAGUAUAGUUCAUGUAAGGUGUUAGGCAACGUGGUGCAGUUAUCUACCGAUAAAUAAGCAAUCACAACAACACGAGUUGGAGGGAUGGCACUGAUGGUGGAGCUCGAUGGAACGCAUAUAUCUCCUCAUGAAAGGACACACUUGCCACAAUUAAAGAGUGUGUUUUGUUGGGGGUAAUUAGAGAUAGAGCAUAUGAAUUGAAGGGGUAUGGAACUCUAAAUCCAUUGUUUGGUCUGGGGGAUUGGGAAUUGAGAAGGGAUUAGACAUUGUAAUUCAUAUUCUAACUCCCACCGUUUUAUAUGUGGGGGUGGGAGUUGAAAUGAAAUUGUUGUAGUGAGUCCACCUUAGCCUUUCAUCAUAACUUACGUUAACUUCUCUUCUCUAGUCCCAUGUUAAGUUUCACAAACCAAACAUAGAAAUAAAAUUUUGGUUCAAAUCUCCACACAUAAUUCCUAUCAUCCACCAUAUAGAGGAUUAGGAAUAAAACGACUCAUCACAUGUCCAAUCUCAAUACAACACUCUUUGAUCUAAACUCACAUUCCUCUUCUAAUAUUGCCAAACACAUUGUAAUUGGUUUUGGUGUUAAUGAUAGCAUGAUUAGUGAUGUCACUAUGUGGUUGAGUCUAUAAACAAUGUAUUGGAUCAUUCCAAGGAAAGCAAGCAUCAUGGAAGGCUUCCAACCAUAAAGUAAAAAAAGAGGCAUCUCAGUGAGUUUUGGCUUGUUUGGGUCAUUAGGAAAGCCAUAUUGUUGUGUGCUUUGGAGUAAGAGGUGGGAAUCAACUCACUUACGCACAUAUAUUGCAUCAACAGAACCCAUCCACAUUUAAGAGAGAUAUUCUAUAAAUCCCUCAUUUUGUAGCUAUUAUUUGUACCCUGGAAUCUCCAAGGACAGAAACAUCCAGCCAGCCUUUGAGUUGUCCUGCAGCACGCAACUCUCUGGAAAGCCUAGAUCAUGUUGAGAUUCAAUAUUGAAAGCUCUAGAACAUCCAUGUUACCUUUGGUCAGCCCAUGGGUUAUUCAGAAUCACGCAACUCUCGAGCUUUAGCUCUCUUGAAAGACUAGAGCUUGCCUGGAACUUACGUGACAACCCGGAGCCUCCAGGGCAUGUAAACUGUGUGUGUAUGAUGACCCACAAGUGUAGGAAUCGCAACAGUCUUCACGGGUAAGAUAACCCAAUUUAUUGAUUCUACACAAGGGGGGCCAAAGAAUAUUUAUAAGCUUUAACAGUUGAGUUGUCAAUUCAACUGCACCUAAAAUAUACUUGCUUGGCAACGAAAUAUUAGUAGCAACGGUGAUAUGGAAGUGAUGGUGGCAACGGAAAUAAUGGUGGAAAAGCAACAAAAUUAAAACGGCGAAAGUAAAGCAACUCGUAACCAGCAGUAUUAAAACACUGUAGGUUAGAGAGAUGGAUGUAUGGUCAUGGAUGAGUAACUUGGGGCAAGGCACAUAGAAAAGUAAUGAUCAUCUAGGCAUAUAUCAAACAUUAGGCAUGUAUCCCAAGGUAGUCGUGCGUGCUUGCAAUAAGAACUUGCACAACAUCUUUUGUCCUACCAUCCUGCUAUCAACGGUGCCAAAAGGAACUUAUGGAGAUUAAGGUUCUCCUGUCAAACAGCACCGGAACAAAGAAUUAAGAAUCAAUGGAUACAUGGAAUCCUCAAACUAUAGUUGAUGACGAGUUGAUGGAUAUACUUCUCGCCCCUCGUUGGUUACCCCAAGUGGAAGGUGGAGAUGUAGUCAGCAGCAGAUUUCCCUUACACGGGAACUGUAAGGUUUAUCGAACCAGGAGAACUCCUAGGCUCAACAAGUAGGUGUCUCCUGUCCUGGUCAGCAGAAGACGUGGACCUGCACACACAACAAAUAACUUUGCUCCCAACGAGUACAGAGAGGUUGUCAAUCUCUCCGGCCUUGUAAUUUGUAAAGGAUCAAAACACAAGCAGGAAGGUAAUAGUGAUUGAAACAGAAAAGUUAAUGAAAGCGGUAAAUGAUGGAGGUGUAAACAAUGAUGGUGAUAUGGACAGGAGUCACAUGAUGUUCACUAGUGAUGUCUAUCUCCCAAAAGACGAUAAACAACUAUGCUAGGGUAAACAAAUCAUAGUUGGGCAAUUGAUAGAAUUAUGAUCGCACCGCAAUGCUAAUUAUGCUACUUGAUAGUUAGAGGUUCAAUAGUAAUGGGCAGUACGCCAAGACAAGUAGACCGUUUAUUCAUCAGCAUCUACUUACUAAUCAUCCUCCUUGAUAUAUCUAUCGAGAACAUCUCUCCGGUAUUAAGUUGCGAGCCCCACCCAAAGUGUAAACUCAAAGCAGCAGACAACUGCAUUAACAAACUAUGCGUAAGGUAAAUAAUCCUUGCAACCGUGGUCAGAAGCACCGUUGUUUUCUCCCUGGUGGCAACAAGGACAUCCCCUAGUCUCAUGUUUCUGUCACUCAAGCUAGACAUCGAGGGGCAUGAACCCAGAAUCAUGCAUAACGCUCCCUCUUGGAGUUACAAUCUACUACUCGGCCAAAGAAAUAAAUAGCGACGGAGAACAUGCAUGAAUCACUAAGGAACAUAAUAUAAAAGGAUAACCAAAUAUAUAACUCACAAAAAUCUGAACAUAAUCUCAUAAUCCAUCGGAUCCCAACAAAGCGAGCAUAGCAAUAGCAAGAGAAUUACAUAGUUGCCUUGAUCAUGUAGGGCAGCUCACAAGGACUAGCCAUUGAAGCACAAGAUUGGCAAGAAGACAUCACAUAGCUAUUGGUCAUGGACUCAUGGUCCAAGCAGAACUACUCACGACACGUCCGGGAAGCGGCCAUGGCGGUGGAAAAGCUCCCGGAGGUCAAUCCUCCCUCCGGCAGGGUGCCGGGAAGAGGUCUCCUGACGCACCCGAUCUCGGAAGCGCUGCGGCGGUGGAACGAUGGAUAAAUUCGCGAUUCCAGAUGUUCUGGAAGGGUUUCCUCUCGGGACUCUAAAUAUAGGCCAAAGGAGGGCACCAGAGGAGGUGGGGCCCACCCAGGCGGCCUCAUGGUGCGGCCUAGGCCCUCGCCGCGCCAGGAGGUCGCCUGGGCAGCCCCUGGCCCCCCUCUGGCCCAUCUUCGGUGAUCUGAAAGCUUCUGUUUCGCUGAUUUUUUAUAUAUUUUUUCUGGAAUUUUUCUGGAAGACAAUAACAAGCAAGAGUUUAUAUCUACUAUUGAAAUUAUCGAAGUAAGAACAUAAAGGUGCAAGAGCUCUCGCUGUCCGUGACUCGAAUGUCUCCAAAUGGUGUUUGCGUGCAAGAAGUGGGAGAUUGGUUGAGAUCAUAAAAUAUUUUUUAAUUGAGAACUCAAUCUACUAAAAUUUACACUUGGUCUUCUUCGGAAUCUUAUUUUGACUCAUCCCCAGACCACUAGUCAGGCAUAAGUCAAACUGAUCCUCUCCCUUUCGACUUUGGGAUCCAGCUUGUUUGCUCAUGAAGACCUAGAGCUCAUUUGAGGAGGCUCAGCAUUGGAAUAUACAAACCAAGUUCUAUAGUGUAAGGUCUCCACAUAGUUAAGUAUGAAUGAUAAUCUCUAUGUAGUAACAAUAUAGCAAUGAAGUACGAGUGUGGAUCUCUCAAAGGAAUAGUAGUGUUGCCUCCUUCUCUCUUUUUAUUUCUUUAUUUCUUUUUCUCUUUUUUUUUAAUUUUUGUGGCCUCUUUGGCUCUUUAUUUUUUAUCUCUCAUUUCUCCUCUUUGGUAUCUUUUAAUUUGUCCUCUUUGGGAUCUUUUCCUCACUUAAGGGCAACACUCUAUGUUUUACAUGAAUAAAAAGAAGAUCGUCACACUUUAUAAGAAGUACUCAACAUAAAGACAAAUGAAAACUAUCAUGAUGUAUGCAAAUGUAUGCCUCUACUAGUGUAGUAGGAUAUGCAAUGUAACUAGCGCGUCAUGUAGCAAUAAUAAGGGCAAGACCCAACUAGCAUGCGGCUCCUCGAUCAAGCAAAAGCAUGUAUGACAUGAAGAUCAGGUCGUGAGAUGGUGGAUGUUGCAUGGCAAUGUAUUUCAGAAAGGCUAUGGAAAUGCCUUAAUAGGUAGGUAUGGUGGCUGUUUUGAGGAAAGAUAUAAUGAGGCUUAUGAUGACAGAGCGUAUCAUGCCAAGGGUUUGGAUGCACCGGCGAAGUUUGCACCAACUCUCAAGAUGAGAAAGGGCAUUGCACGGUACCGAAGAGGCUAGCAAAAUAUGGAUGGUGGAAAUGCCAACAAUCGAAUACUCACAUUAGUCCAAAGAACUCAUGCACUUAUUAUCGAUAACUCUCUAUCUAGUCAGGAGAUUCACAAAGAGACAAGUACCCCGAGGAGGAGUGUUUGGGGGUUUGCUUAUCCUUGCGCAUCCUCGACCCAUGAUAACGUGAGGGUACUCUAUAUAUUCCAACCCCUCCAGAGGUUAGCGAUCCAUCUAGUAGCUAGAGUUCUCAACUUUUUUUUGUUUUUGAAAAUACACACGGAUUUCCCAAAAUACGACACCAAUCACUAAUAGGCUCAACCCGUUGACACCAAUAUUCCAAACAUUACUCAAAUCAAUACCUCAAAACUAUUGAAAGUUACUACUAUACUUAAAUAGCAACCUCAGUUACCUACUUAUGCAAGACACACAACUCAGUGCAACAAGCAAACUCUCUAAACAAGAUAAGCAUGAUAACUCAAGAGAGUUCCAAAAGCAACCUAAAUAAAAGCUCUUAAUAAGAUAAAGCAUGAAAACUAAGAGCUAAGCAUGACAACAGCUAUGAAGAGAUAAAGAACACACAGAAAGAUAAGCAUGAAAACCUAUGUUGUGUUUUAGGGUGGAGUGGAGCGUGUUUCUCUCCCAAACAAAGAAUACUAGGUUCCAACUUGUUAUGAAUAGCAAAAAAAACUAAAACAAACUAAAAAUUAAAGAGCGGGACGCUCCAAGCAUAGCACAUAACAUAUGAAGUGCUAAAAAUAUAGCAUGGAGAAGGACGAACUGAUGAUUGUUGAUGGAGAAGGGGAUGCACGGGGGCAUCCCCAAGCUUAGAUGCUUGAGUCUCCUUGAAUAUUUCUUGGGGUGCAUGGGGGCAUCCCCAAGCUUGAGCGCUUGACACUCAUGUAUCUUCUUUCAUCAUCUUCCAUCGCAUACUUGAAAACUCCCUUCAUACGAAACUCAUCAUAAGCUAAUUAGAGUGGUUAGUACCCAUAAUAAAAUAAUUUAUCUCCACUGGAAAUAAAUAUUUUCAUGAAGAUCUACUGUUUCUCAAGAUUGCCAAAAAAAAUUGCAAAGAAAAAGCAAGCUUAAGAUUUGCAAAACGAUGAAAACGCAAAACGUGGCAGAAUCUGUGAAAAACAGACCAGCAGGUAGUAAAUAAUUUUUGCAGGGCACUUAUGCAACUCAAAUAAAAAACUCAGAACAAACACCAAAAAGCUAAUUGUAUAGAGCAUACUGUCAAAACAAUUCAGAUCAAAACGAUGAUUUGGUGAUUUUUGGUGAAUAUUCCGUCAAGCAGAGAGAAUCCGUUUCUGGACAGCAUGUCACAACUUUUGAACUUUCUUGUAAUCAGAGGCUAAAACUUGGCACAAAGCUUAAAAAUAUAGAUACAAUGAUGUUGCUACAGUAGUAACACACAUCAAGACCACUAAAAACUGAAAGUAAAAACUCAAGGUAAAGAUAACAAGGGUUGUCUCCCUAGAGCCCUUUCUUUGUAGCCAUAAAGAUAGGCUUAAGAUUUUAAUGAUGCUCUCGUAGGAAUAAGAGUUGUAGAACAAAAGAGAGCAUCGAGAAGCAAAUACCAAAUACAUUUAAGUCUAACAUGCUUCCUAUGCAUAGGAAUAUUGCAAUAGAAUAAUUCAUUUAAGCACAAAGCAAUAAGCAUAGGAAGGCAAAACAAGUGCAGCUUCAAAACCUUCAACAUAAAGAGAGUGAACUUGAUAUUAUUGAAAUAUCUAUAAGCAUAUGUUCCCUUCUCAUAAUAAUUUUCACUGGGAUCAUGAAUAAACUCAACAAUAUAGGUAUCACAUAAUGCAUUGUUACCAUGAUCCACAUGCAAAAAGGUACUCUUACUCUCCACAUAAGCAUAAUCUUUCUCAUUGGUAAUAGUGGGAGUAGGACUAUCAUAAACAACCUGAACACUAAGAUUAAUUGUGUAUUGGGGAGAUGGUGUUCAGCAAGGAGUAAUUCCCUCCAUGAUUAUGACCAGUUUCAUAUGGAUAAUUUCUCCUUAUGUCAUAUGUAUCUUUACAAUCACUAUAGAUAGGAGUUAUAACAUCAUCAUGGUAGAGAAGAGCAUUAUUAUUGCUAGCAACUAUAUUUGUAAACAUGAUGUCUUUAUUCUUACUAGCAAUAGAAUUAUCAAUUAUCACAUCACUAAUGGGUAAAGGACUUGCAAUCCUAUUAUCCCCAAGCUUAGGGCUUCCCAUAUCAUCAUUUUCAGAGUUGGUACCAAAAAGAUUUUCAAGAUCAUAAGUAGCAUUAUCAUCAUCUUCCCAAUCACAAUAAGUAACAUGCAUAUUAUAAUCAAAAUCAUCUUCAAUAGUACCUAUGGGCUUAUCAUCAAGAUAAUAGUGAAUGCAAUCAAGCUCACCAACCUCCAUAAACUUAUGUUUGUUAGGAUAAAAGUUGAUGCGAGGAAUAUGCUCAGGCCAGGUUGAUACCCAUUCUUCUUCCUUCUUGUUCCUCUUCCUCCUCUUAUUUUUAUCUUUCUUCACCUUAGGAGGGAGUGGUUGGAGAGGAAGAUUCUCCAAAUAUUCUGCUUUAUCAUUAGAAACAAUAGGGGAACCUUGGGAGAAACUCUCUUUUUUAUUAGUGGAAACAUAAGAGGCAUUUUUAUGCUUUGGUAAAGUUCCCUCCUUUCUAAUCUUACUUAUCUAAUCAUUUUCAUGGAAAUUAACAACACAAUAGAGAUGGCAUUUUUGCAAAGUGUUGUUUAUUCCUAAGGCAUUAUUAUCUAGCCAAGAAGUUUUUUCUGAUAACUCUUCACACAUCAAAAAUAACAUAAGUUCAUCAUAAAGAUCAGAAGUAACCAUGUUAUCACACAACUGGUUAACAAUUAUGUCUUGACAGUACACGCAUUGAAAAUUAAAGUGACCCUCUAUACCACAAAGUUCACAAGUAAAAGGAUAAAGGUCACAUAAUUCUCUAGCAAUUUCAUUUAAAUCUCUAACCCAAGUGAUUGUUCUUUCAUGCUUAUGUUUCUUACAAUACUUCUCUUCUUCAAUCAUAGGCCUUUCACAAGGUCUAUCCACUCCACAUAAAUUAACAUGCUUAUAUAAAACUUCAUUUUCAGGAAUUGGAUCAUGCAUGUUGCAAUUGUCAUUAACAAUUUCAUUUUCUUCGCAAAUCUCUUUAAAAGGUUCAUGAUGCUUGAUCCAAUUCUCCUUAGGCAUAUUAAGAUGUGAAGCAAAAGAUUUGAGAAAUCAACAAGGAGUUGAAAAUCAAGCCCAAACUUAGCACUAAACUUAUUAAAACUUGCAGUUUCAACAAAGGCCUUAAUGCAAUUAUACUCAUAAUUUAUACUUGACUCUUUACCUUUGUUGACCUCCCAAUCUUCAGUGUUGCGUUGAAUUCUUUCAAGGAGUUCCCAUUUAGCAUCAAUCCUUUCGUUUGUGAAAGAACUCAUAGAGGAAGCAUCGAGACAGUCUUUAUCCUAUCGAGAGAGCCUCGCAUAGAAAUUAGUAAUAAUCAUAUCUUUGGGGAGCCCAUGGUUAGGAAAUUUUAGCAUUAAAAUUUUCAGUCUCCCCCAAGCUUGAGCUAUGCUCUCUUCGUCAUGAGGAUAGAAAUUAUAAAUAUAAUUCCUAUUCUCAUGGACUUCAUGAAGAGGAUAAAACUUGGAGGAAAAUAGAGACUGAAUCUCUUCCCAAUCCCGUAGGUGAGAAUCAUCUAGUAGCCUAUACCAUUCCAAUGCUUUUCCUUUGAGUGACAAGGCAAAUAAUUUCCUCAUGACUCCAUCUCUUGUCAAACCUGAAAUCUUAAGUAACUCAUAGAGUUCUAUAAGUUUCAACAAAUGAAUACUAGGAUUGACUGUUCCAUCUCCUGCAUAACAAUCUUUCCUAAUAAUUUCAAUUAUCCCAAGUGGUAUUUUGAAUGGGAUACACUCAGCAGGUAGAGGAGACUUCUCUACCAUGGGUGUGGUAAAGCGGCCUUCCCCAAGCAGCGAACUAAGAGUGCAGUUUUGCAUAAGCCUAACUAGUGAAAAUAAAAACAAGAAACGAAAAGGUUUAAUUGCAAGAUCUAAAUAUAUACCUUCAAGCACUCGCCUCCCCGACAACGGCGCCAGAAAUAGCUUGAUGUCUACGUACGCUUCUAUUCUUGUAGACUAUGUUGGGCCUCCAAGCGCAGAGGUUUGUAGGACAGCAACAAUUUCCCUCAAGUGGAUGACCUAAGGUUUAUCGAACUCAGGGAAGUAGAGUUGAAGAUGGUUUCUCUCAAGCAACCCUGCAAUUAAGAAACAAGAAGUCUCUUGUGUCCCCAACACACGUAAUACAAUAGUAAAUUGUAUAGGUGCACUAGUUCAGCGAAGAGAUCAUAAAAUAUGGGUGAUAGGUGUGGCAAAGCAAGGUAAUAUAAAUCUGUAGUAAAAAUUACAGCAAGGUAGCAAGUGACAAAAGUGAGCAUAAACGGUGUAACAAUGGUGACAAACAAGGCCUAGGCUUCAUACUUUCACUAGUGGCAACUCCCAACAACAUUAACAUAGUAUAAUCACAUGAUAUUUCCACUAAAACAUGCAAUGGUGACGUACUCGGAGGUCAUUCCUUUGUGAUCAAGAGAGGACGAGAAUUAUGUAGGGCUACAAAAGCACACCUCAGAGUUUGUAGUUCUCAUCUAUGGAUUUCCGAGUGUCACCGCGGCCAUCCAAAAAGAGUACCACAAUCACCACAACGUAUCUCAAGGAUAGUCAAAGACAAACACCAAGAGACUCUCAAUCUUCAAUCAAUUCACAAAAGAGGAAAUCACUCAUGAAAAUAUUCUUCUAAUACAUGUCCAAUAGACCGCUGUCACCAUGGUCUCAGGGAUUAUACUAGAUAAGAUCAAGUGAGUACAUCAAUAAAAUACAUAGAAGAAGGGGAAACAUCAUGGGAUCACCCUAGGUUAACAUAGCCUAUGAUCACAAUCAAGAUCACAUCAUGGGAGAGAGAAUUAACCACAUAGCUAUUGUAGAAGACCUCAGCCCCGAGGAGGAACUAAUCCCGCUACAUGGAGGGAGGAAGCAACGUCGAUGGAGAUGAAUCCGGGGGCACUUCCCCAUUCCGGCAGGGUGCCGACAUAGGAAUUCUGGUCCCCGAAACUUGUUGGCGAUGGCGGCGGAGAUCGGAAUUGCUUCUGGAGAAAAGGGUUCCGGAAUCAGGGUUUCCUCCAUGGGGGUAAAAAUAGGAGCCAAGGUAGGGCUCCAAAGGAGGUGGGCCCCACCCAGGCGGCCUGGUGGCGCGGCCAGGAGGUAGGCCGCGCAGGGAGGCCGCCUGGGUGAGCCCUGGCUCCCCUCUGGCCCACCUUUGGUGCUCGUGAGGCUUCCGUCACGCUGAUUUUUAUAUAUUUUUCUCAAGAUUUUUGGGACUCUGUAAAUUGGGGUAAAAGUCCGUGCAAAAAAUACAUCAGCAGACAGAAACUGGCACUGGGUGCACUGAGUUACUAGGUUAGUUCAAAUAUGUGUAAAAAGAUAUGAAAGUGUAGCAAAACAUAUAACAAUGUCACCCAAAAGAGCAUGGAACAAACAUAAAUUAUAGAUACGUUUGGCACGUAUCAUGUUGCCUGGUCCAAUAUCCAACCGAGUGCUGCCUUUUUUGGUAGUGGAACAAGGGGUCUUGGUUUUUACCAUGUGGAUGCACCUAUUGCUAAUGAAUCUAAUUGGCUCAUUUUCCAAAAUUGUGUUGUGUUGAAUAUCAUCAAGGGGUUGUGGAUAGGGCUCUACUCCUAAGCCUAUUGACUGAUACUUUCUGUAUGUGAAAGCAGUGGCCAUGGCAGAUCAGGGAGAUAUCCCACAAAACCUUCCUCGUCAGAUUUCCACCUUGAAUGAAAGUAGAAGACCUUAUUGAGCUGUCGGGUUUCUGCCUCCGUCAAGAUGUUGGUGUUAAGAUGACUGAGUAAAAAGGUGCUUGUGAUCCUUUUGGGGAUUUAGUUGAAGCUUGGGUCCUGAUUGAAGGUAUUCCACCUAAAUGGUGUACUUGGAAAGUCUUUGCCUAGGUGUCUUCUAUGUUGGGGGUCUUAACAAAUAUUGAUUAGAAUGGAAUGUUUAGAACCUCUUUUGAGAAUGUUAGGGUCAACUUUGCUUGCAGGGACCCAACAAAAAUUCCUUUUGAAAGGUUGAUUGAAAUGAAGAAGAAGUUGUUCCUUCUCGAGUUUACUAUUGAGGGCUUUGAACACGUGGGUGGUGUGGACUCUGUUAUUGAUACCAUCUCUAAAGGUAAAUAUGAUGAUGCAAGUAGUGAUGAGGAAGAUACUGGGAGGAUAAGGAGGAAGUAUCCAAGGAUGAUAUGCAGGAUGAUCUUGUGGAUGAUGAUACCGCCAUUGAUGAGCUUGACAAAUCAAAUAUCCCUGGCAAGAAGAAUUAUGGCUCUAUUGGUAAAUCCAAAGCUUCUAUUUUUGGACGUCCUGCAGAUGCUGAUCAUGAAAGCUUCAUCAUAGAGGUUGUUGCUGCUAGGAGUUUUCCCAACAGAAACAUGGAUGUGGUGAGGGCUCUCUUGAUCCAGUAAUUGCUCAUGACAUUGGGUCUAGUCCUGAUGUUAUAGGUGGAAAAAAUAUUGAACUUGGGGGUUCUACCCCUGUUAACUUAGGGCAUGUUUAUUUGAUGGGUGUGGAAAAAUCUGAGAAUAAGGAGUAUUGUGACUCAUUAUUAAAAUCGGUUGAUAUGUGACUAUGAGGAUGAGAUGGACUUAAAAGAGGAUGUGAUGCUGGGGACUCUUCCCUCUGAAACUAUGCAGAUGCUUCAAUUUUCAGGCCUGAAGAGGUCCUUGAUGGACUCUCUGAAUCAGGCUCAGGAGGUUCCACCCAAGAAUCCUAAGUGGGGGUCAAUUAUGGCAUCUAAAUAUGCUACCAUGGGGCAUGACAAUAUAAACAUCAUGGAGAAACCUGUUGCUUACAAGAUGAAAAAGAAAUUGGAAAUUCCUAUAACAUACAAAGGUAAAUCAGUCCUAAUAAGUUGAUUGAUCAAGUUUCUAAGAUUGAUUUGGUUAUGAGGGGGUAGCUCUAGUAAGUUGGAUAUCAUUGAAGAUUUAAUUGUUAGGGAGCAAGAUAAUUGCUUAGCUUUUGCUAAUGGCCAUCCUGAAGUGGUCCCGCGUGACAACUUAGAUGUGGUUCAUGAAGCCAGUUGGGGUUUCCCCUCUGAGAAUAGUAGGCACUGCUGUUUUGUUAGGGGCUGCUCCUACUGUCCCUACUAAAGGUAUGCCUUGUGGCCUAUCUCAUCCUUCUAAAAUAUCUUAGUUAUGAUAGUCUUAAUUUGGAAUAUUAGGGGUAUGGGGCAAGAUGGUAAAAAUUCAGUGCCUUUGUGAUGUGAUUCCUAGAACUAAUCUUGAUUUAAUGGGUUCCAAGAAACCAAAAAAGAGACUAUUUCUGAGGGUUUUCUCAAAGCUUUAGAUAGUUUGGGAGAUUUCAUGUGGCAUUUUUUUCCUGCUGAUAAUACUGCUGGGGGUAUCUUACUUGGUUUAGAAAGAGACAUGUUUGAUGUUAUUGGCUUCAUUAAUACUAGAUUCUCCAUUAAAGCCAUUGUCAAGAACAGGAAUGAUGGUUUUCUUUGGAAUCUUGUGGUGGUUUAUGGAUCAACUUAUCGUGAGUUUAAGAUGGAUUUCGUAUCUGAAUUACAUGAUACUCUUUGUUCUGCUACUUGUCCUGUUUUCAUUUGUGGUGACUUCAAUUUAGCGAGAGGAGAUGAGGACAAAAGUAGUGGUCUAGUUAACCAACAGAUCACUUUUUUGUUUAAUGACUUGGUUAAUAGAUGGGCAAUACUCUAAAUUCCUAUAGCUAAUAGGAAGUUUACUUGGUCCAACAAUCAAGACAAUCCUGUUUUUGCUGUUUUGGACAGAGUGUUCACUUCUCUGGAUUGGUAUGCUUAUUUCCCUAUGUUAUCAUUAUGUGCUCUUCCUAGGGUAGGUAGUGAUCAUACUCCUUUGGUUUUUGAUACUGGUGCCAGGAUUCCCUGUUGUACUUUUUAGGUUUGAGAAAUGGUGGCUCUCUCAACCUGGCAUUCCCAGAUUCUUGAGAAAGCUUCGACUUCUGGCUGCUCCUCCAAUGGUUCUGUAGAUAACUAGAUGGCUAAAACAAGAAACUUGAGGAAAAAAAUUGAAAGGAUGGAGUAUUAACCUAGAAGCAGCCAUGAAAAAAAGAAAAGGCCCUCCUUAUGGAGUUUGAUAUUCUGGAUGUCUUAUGUGAAUCACAACAGUUGUGUGUUGUUGACUUUGAUAGAAUGAAAGAUAUUAAAAAAACUUGAUCAUAUAUGGAAAAAAGAGGAGACUGCCUUAUGGCAGAGAUCUAGGGAUCGGAAGAUUCUAGAAGGUGAUCGUAAUAAUUCCUAUUUUCAUGCACUAGCUGAUCAUAGACAUAGGAAGAACCAUCUUUCAUAAAUGUUGGCUCCUGGGGGGGGGGUGAAUUCCACAGAAGACAUGUUGAAUGUAGCUACUGAUUUUUAUAAAACCCUUUUUGAUUUUGAACCCAAACCUGAUAUCCAUUUGGAUGCUAAUUUCUGGUCAGAAGAAGAGAUGAUCUCUAAAUCUGACAGAGUAGAUCUUGAGAAACCCUUUUGUGAGGAGGAAAUCAAGCAAGCCAUCAUGAGCUCUUAUAGCUGUGGAGCACCUGGCCCUGUUGGCCUUUCUUUUCUGUUUUACCAAAAGUUUUGGAAUGUGGUUAGGGAUGAUUUUAUGUGGAUGGUGAGACAUUUUGAAGGUCAGACUUUAGAUAUUCAUAGACUUAAUUUUGCUUUCAUCACUCUUAUCCCUCAAACUCUUCGGGCUAGGGAGAUGAGAAAUUUUAGGCCUAUUAGUUUGAGCAAUUGUGUUGUCAAAAUCUUCUCUAGGGCCCUGACAACCAGAGUUUCUCGUGUGUGUGACAAGCUUAUCUCUCACAACUAGAAUGCAUUUAUUAAAGGGAGAUUUAUCCUUGAAAGUGUAGUGAUGGAUCAUGAAGUUAUUCAUGAGGUGCAUAGCUCUGGUUCUGGGGGUUGAUUCUAAAACUAUAUUAUGAAAAAGCUUAUGACAUACUCCCUUCGUCCAGAAUUACUUGUCGCACAAAUAGAUAAAAAUGGAUGUAUUUAGAACUAAAAUACAUCUAGAUACAUCCAUUCCUAUGACAAGUAUUUUCGGAUGGAGGGAGUAGUUAGUUGGGACUUUCUUAAAGAGAUGCUCCUUUCUAGAGGCUUUGGGGGAAAAUGGGUUGGUGUGUCUUUAGUAUUUUGCAACAGGGGGCUUUUUAGGUUAGGAUCAAUGACAAGAAUGGGACACAUUUUAUUGGGAAUAAAGGUCUCAAGCAAGGUGAUCCUCAUUCACCUGUGCCUUUUAAUUUGGUGGCCGAUGUGUUUACCAAAAUGUUGGCUAAAGCUGCUAGACAUGAUCUAAUUGUUUGAUUACUUCCACAUGUUAUUCCGGGUGGUGUGGUUAGUCUUCAAUAUGUUGAUGACACUAUUUAUUCCUUCAAGACUCUUUGAAUAUGCUAGAAAACUUAAAUGGAUUCUUACCUGCUUUGAAAAAUUGUAUGGGCUUAAAAUUAACUUCCAUAAGAGUGAUCUUCACAUUCUCCAUGUCUGUGAAGAUAUGUCUAAAGGAUUUGCUCAAUUUUCUUGCUGCCACUUUGGGGAUUUCCCCUUUAAGUAUCUUGAGUCCCUAUGCAUUAUAAGAAGUUGAGAAGGGAGAAUGUGCGACCUAUCAUUGAUAGGAUUAUCAAAUGUAUUGCUUGGUGGCUUGGUAGGAAUCUUUCCUACAGAGGUAAAUUGAUCUUAUUAACUACAUGCAUUGCGAGCAUCCUAUUUACCUUAUGUCUAUUAUCAAAUUUCCUAAAUGGGCCAUUGAUGCCAUCAAUUCUCAGAUGUCCCAUUUCGAUUGGGGGAAUAUGGGGGAUGUCCAUAAAUAUCAUCUGGCUAAUUAGGUUUUGGUGACUAGGAGGAACGAAUUUGGAGGAUUAGGGGUUCCUAAUUUGAAGGAGGUUAAUAUGUCUCUACUUGCCUCUCGGGGUAAAAGAUUUUAUGAGGGGGGAUAAAGAUUGGAAAAAUAUCAUCUUCUAUAAAUAUGGGGUUGAGAAACCAAACUUAUAUUAGGCUAAACCUGUAUUAGGGACACCUUUCUUGAACAGUGCGACCUGGGCACUAGGGGCAGCUAAAAACUUUGUUAGAUGGGUUCCUAGUAAUGGGGAGAACAUUGCCUUUUGGCAUGACAUUUGGAUAGGGGAUUGUUCUUUAAAAACUCUCUUUUGGGAUCUUUUUGAGAUUUGCCAACAACAAGAGGCUUCUCUUGCUCAAGUGUGGGAUGGGGACCAGUUGCACCUGACCUUUAGGAGAUGUGUGGAUGCUAGAUUGAUGGACUGUUGGUUCAAACUGAAUUCUUUGGCAAGAACCUUUAGUCCCUCCACUAAGGUGGAUGCCCCCUGGUGGACUCCUGAAGCAUCUUGUAGAUAUUCUGUGAGGUCAUUCUACAAGAUGAUUAACUCUCAUGGAGUUUCUUCUCACAUUAAAGACUUCAUUUGGAAAAUUAAAGUGCCUCCCAACAUACAUUUCUUUCUUUGGCUCGCUUGUUAGAACAAAUAUUUUACUAGAGAUAACUUAGCAAAAAGGAGACACGUUGAUGACCCAACUUGUGUGUUUUGUAGUGAGCAUGAAUCUAUUCAACACUUGUUCUUCGAGUGCAUUGUUGCUAAGGGGAUCUGGUCUAUUAUUUCCGAUACCUAUGGUAUUUCUGCACCCUUCUCUUUUGAUGAUAUAGCGGUUUUUUGGAAGCAGAAAAAAUGUAGUGAGGCUGUUAGCAUUAUAUCAUCUGCCACCUUGUGGGGCUUAUGGCUGUUUCGCAAUGAAUUUGUCUUUCACGGGAGGAGGUGGCGAAACAUGCGGUGUAUAAUGGAUCUGGUGGGGGAUUUUGUAAGGAAAUGGAAAGUGCCGUGCUCGGACACCGAGGGUGUGCUUCUUCUUCGAUGUUUAAGGCUCUAGAACUAUCCAAUAGGGGAUUUGCUCAGGAUCGCGUGGUAGCUAUGUCAAGGUUGGCAGAGUGGAGUAGCAUUUUGGCAUUGUUGUUGCAUAUCUCUAUGAUUCCUCUCUUUGCCAUGUAAAAUGCUUUGUAAUAGGGAUUAAACUAGGUGUACUUUACGCCAUUGUUUCUACGGCUGCUACCUUAGUCUGUUAGCCGAGGAUUGAUACUUUUGGAUGGUUUGCUUUGCCUUGGCUUUAAUAAAGUUCGUGCUGGCGGGAGACCCCUCUCAUUUCAAAAGAAAAAUGGCUACAUGACUGGCACAUCAACGGCUCUUAGACUAUUCAUACUGGGACCUAUUUGCAAACUUGUCAUUUUUCUAACUUAUCUUAGCUAAGUGGCAUAUAGAGUAAAAGAAAUCUGCAUUGCACGUAACUCGAAGCUACAACCUUUCAAAUUUAGCAAGCAACCGCAAACCAUUGGGACACAAUCUGACAUGUUAAAUUAGAAGUAACCAAUACUAUAUGUAUUAAUAUGGAAACCAGGAGAUUUCAUGCAAUCAGCUUUUGUUUCUUUUUUUGUGGGUGGAUCCCAUGCAAUCAGCUUUUGUUUCUUUUUUUGUGGGUGGAUCCCAUGCAAUCAGCUGAUCGAUUUCCUUCGAGUGUUAUCUGAUAGAUUUCUUUAUAUUUACAAUCCUAUCAAGCACUACAUGUUCGCUCGUUCCUUGCCUUUUGACAUUAAUUGUUUGGAAACAACACCUUUAAAAAAAUAUGUAACACUAUUAUGCAUGGAAGGUUUAAUGUCAACGUAAUUAUGGUAACAUAUACAGUUGGAUGCAACUUAUUACAUAAGUCAGGUUGUGUUCCAAUGGUUAGAGCAACUCAAACCGCGCCACUCAAACGGACGCACGCUUUGUCCACCUUUUGUUUUUUGGGUUGGCGUGUCCGUCCUCUGUUGCAAAUGGGUCAACUGUUCGUCCAAUGCGUUGACUCAUUCUUUGUCCGCGCCUAACAAUUUUCAAAGGUAAAAAAGGCCCGCGACCAUCGAUCAUGCUAGCGGCCAUGCCAGCGCCAAGAGUUCACGCCAGCGAUAUACCAGCGACCAGCAUACAUAUGCGAGCCUACAAAAAGAAUAAGUAGUUUUUCGAGGUGGACGCACUUGCCAGCAGGUCGGCACACAUGCCAACACACAAAUGAGGAUGUAGUUCCACCAUGCCAUCUCGUUUGUGGUCAUCAUGCCCGCAGACCACGACAUGGAUCACUCGUCUUCGAGGUUGAGCAUGUCAGCCAAUAUCUUCUCGAGCCAAGACCGCUUCCUCGGAGAGACAACGCUCAAGUCUACCUUCAUGAUCUAGACUCCCUUCGUCAUGGAAGCGAGCCAAACUUCUCAUGCUCUAGUGGUUUCUUUGGUGUCCUCGAUUUCUAGCAUCUUCGCUUGCUUCUCCGCCUCCAACGUGAGCCUCUUGUUUGGUAUGUCCAUGAAGGCCCUAAUUUGCUCCUCCUUGUCUUGUCGGUGCUUCUCCUCUCUUGGAUCCUUGUUGACGAUCAUGUCUUGCAAAGUAGCUUGCAAGGCAAGGGAUGCGGCCUCGCGCUUGUCCUCUUUCUUGGACUUGGUCUUGCCUCGCAGUCGCGACGACUCCCCCUCACCAUGGUCCUCAAUGGUUGCAGGCCCCCACGCAUCUUGACGGCAGUGUAUUGCGCUUUGUACUUCUCUUUGCCGUUGAUGAUCAUCCAAUAACGAGUGAGGUCGAAAAACUUGCCCUCAUAAUGGACCUUGAAUGCUUCCAAAGCUUGAAAGACCUACAAAUGGACAAACAACAUUUAUGGACGAGUUGAUAAGUGGACGAGCAAGCUAAGGGACAAUCAAAAAAGCAAGCAUGCCGGACAUACCAUGUCUUUCAUGCUAAUCCAGUCAUAGGACGUGCCUCGAUGCUCUCAAGGGUGGAACAAAACUUGUUGCACUCUUGUUGUAUCACCCUCCAUCGUUUGUUGAGCGAGACCCGUCCAUGAUUGCUCUCCAUUUGGUAUAGCUUGAGAUUCUUGCGCUCAUGAAACUCGCGAUGCACUCUUAGCCUAAAUGACAAAUCCUUUUGCUUAGAGCCUAUCUUGGGGUCUUGGCCAAUGUAUCUCCAACAUCCACAAAGAAGUUUGUCCUCACUUUGUAUGUAUGCUUUGGUUCAGUUGCUCUUCUGCUUCUUCUCUGAAUUGCUUUAGGCGGGGAUCUCAUUGAACAAUGGCUCUCCAUCAAUGUCCACUUCAUUAUCCUCUUCUUCAAGGCCAUAGUCUUCGAGGAACUCAUGAUCAAGCAGGAAAGAGGUGGGCAAGCCGAGUUGGUCCGUCAUGAGUGGUUCUGCCAUGUCUUCACCAAAUGGGUACCCAAUGCCAUCGUGACCGAUCAUGAAAGGGGUGCGGCCAUCCUGGCUUUGCAUCUCGUCAGGAUCGAAGGGAAUGCGCUGCCACCACCUUCAUAGUUGAGGCUCUCCAUGAACAUGCGGUUGGCAUUCUAUCGAAGAGGUUGCGGGUGUUCCCCAGGGCGUCGACUGGGAGCUCGCAAGGCCCUUAGGGGUGCACCCCCGGAGGAUGAUCCACACACCAUAGGUAUCAUGUUGAGAUCGAUGGCCGCGGGCACUGGCGUGGUAGGCGCGACCACGCUCACCUCCGGUGAACCGGAGCAUGUAGAGUUGGGCAACCGGGAGGUUUGCGGGUGUUGCCUUCGAAGCCUUUCUCCUGCGGGGCAGUGGACAUGCACGACGACAGCGGCAAUGAUCAACUGGUGCUGGUCGCGCACACAGCGACAUCGACGAGCCCGUGCUAGCCUGGGUUCAACCCUAGCAUCAGAAGGGCCUGCCUCAUGGCGGCAACGAUGAGCCGGUGGUUCUAUGCGGCUUCGGGCUCCUGAUCUAUGAUGACGGCGAUGCUGGACGCGGUCGCAGCCUCCUCCCUGGCCUCUUGCUCAUGCCGGCGGUGCUUCAUCCUCGUCGAUUGGAUGGCGCACUCCUCAAGCGUAAGAACCUUCUUCUUCCUGGUCAUCGCUGACCCUUUGUGUUCGCCCUUGACACAGACAGUACCGGCGGAGGCGUGUGAGGCGAGGCCGGCGGCGACGUCGAGGGUCGGCGCGUCGUCGUCCAUGAAGCGCGCGAGUGGGCACAAGGUUUUUGGGAAAUUGGAAGGGAAUGGUGGAGCCGUGCCACCGAUGGGUGGGCCAAUUGGGAGAAGGCACGCGUCACGCGCGUCCGUCCUGUGUCUGUGCCGACGAAAAUCUGACGCAAAUUUGAGCCUGAAAUGAAUCACGAGCAACGAAAAAAUGGACGCACGUUCGUUUGGGUCAGCACGUUGGGCUACGUUUCGUGUCCACGGUGACACAAACGGACAUGCAUGGACGAAAUGAGUCGCGCGGUUGGAGUUGCUCUUAGAGCAAGUACAAUAGAUCUGAGUUAGCUGGCUAUAAGGAAUAAACUAAUAUAUUUUUAUUUAGUUAGAGGAAAGAGGAGAGGAGAGAGAAGGUAAGCGGGCUCCUAGGCAUUUUGUGAGUAUGAAAGGUGGACCAUAUAAUAAAAAAGUAAUACACUUUUGCAAUGAACUAUUGUACUGUUGGAAUUAUGCCCUAGAGGCAAUAAUAAAUAUAGUUAUUAUUAUAAUUCCUGUAUCAAGAUAAUCGUUUAUUAUCCAUGCUANNNNNNNNNNNNNNNNNNNNNNNNNNNNNNNNNNNNNNNNNNNNNNNNNNNNNNNNNNNNNNNNNNNNNNNNNNNNNNNNNNNNNNNNNNNNNNNNNNNNNNNNNNNNNNNNNNNNNNNNNNNNNNNNNNNNNNNNNNNNNNNNNNNNNNNNNNNNNNNNNNNNNNNNNNNNNNNNNNNNNNNNNNNNNNNNNNNNNNNNNNNNNNNNNNNNNNNNNNNNNNNNNNNNNNNNNNNNNNNNNNNNNNNNNNNNNNNNNNNNNNNNNNNNNNNNNNNNNNNNNNNNNNNNNNNNNNNNNNNNNNNNNNNNNNNNNNNNNNNNNNNNNNNNNNNNNNNNNNNNNNNNNNNNNNNNNNNNNNNNNNNNNNNNNNNNNNNNNNNNNNNNNNNNNNNNNNNNNNNNNNNNNNNNNNNNNNNNNNNNNNNNNNNNNNNNNNNNNNNNNNNNNNNNNNNNNNNNNNNNNNNNNNNNNNNNNNNNNNNNNNNNNNNNNNNNNNNNNNNNNNNNNNNNNNNNNNNNNNNNNNNNNNNNNNNNNNNNNNNNNNNNNNNNNNNNNNNNNNNNNNNNNNNNNNNNNNNNNNNNNNNNNNNNNNNNNNNNNNNNNNNNNNNNNNNNNNNNNNNNNNNNNNNNNNNNNNNNNNNNNNNNNNNNNNNNNNNNNNNNNNNNNNNNNNNNNNNNNNNNNNNNNNNNNNNNNNNNNNNNNNNNNNNNNNNNNNNNNNNNNNNNNNNNNNNNNNNNNNNNNNNNNNNNNNNNNNNNNNNNNNNNNNNNNNNNNNNNNNNNNNNNNNNNNNNNNNNNNNNNNNNNNNNNNNNNNNNNNNNNNNNNNNNNNNNNNNNNNNNNNNNNNNNNNNNNNNNNNNNNNNNNNNNNNNNNNNNNNNNNNNNNNNNNNNNNNNNNNNNNNNNNNNNNNNNNNNNNNNNNNNNNNNNNNNNNNNNNNNNNNNNNNNNNNNNNNNNNNNNNNNNNNNNNNNNNNNNNNNNNNNNNNNNNNNNNNNNNNNNNNNNNNNNNNNNNNNNNNNNNNNNNNNNNNNNNNNNNNNNNNNNNNNNNNNNNNNNNNNNNNNNNNNNNNNNNNNNNNNNNNNNNNNNNNNNNNNNNNNNNNNNNNNNNNNNNNNNNNNNNNNNNNNNNNNNNNNNNNNNNNNNNNNNNNNNNNNNNNNNNNNNNNNNNNNNNNNNNNNNNNNNNNNNNNNNNNNNNNNNNNNNNNNNNNNNNNNNNNNNNNNNNNNNNNNNNNNNNNNNNNNNNNNNNNNNNNNNNNNNNNNNNNNNNNNNNNNNNNNNNNNNNNNNNNNNNNNNNNNNNNNNNNNNNNNNNNNNNNNNNNNNNNNNNNNNNNNNNNNNNNNNNNNNNNNNNNNNNNNNNNNNNNNNNNNNNNNNNNAGGAGUCUCUCGGGUCAUAUCUACAUAGUUCUCGAACCCGCAGGGUCUGCACACUUAAGGUUCGACGUUGUUUUAUGCGUAUUUGAGUUAUAUGGUUGGUUACGGAAUGUUGUUCGGAGUCCCGGAUGAGAUCACGGACGUCACAAGGGUUUCCGGAAUGGUCCGGAAACGAAGAUUGAUAUAUAGGAUGACCUCAUUUGAUUACCAGAAGGUUUUCGGAGUUACCGGGAAUGUACCGGGAAUGACGAAUGGGUUCCGGGAGUUCACCGGGGGGGCAACCCACCCCGGGGAAGCCCAUAGGCCUUGCGGGUGGCGCACCAGCCCUUAGUGGGCUGGUGGGACAGACCAAAAGGGCCCUAUGCGCCUAGGAAAGAAAAUCAAAGAGAAAAAAAAAA